This 74756-nucleotide long non-coding RNA is filed under the name Physcomitrium patens. RNAcentral describes it as "long non-coding RNA (PPAT_LNC013851)". Lineage: Eukaryota; Viridiplantae; Streptophyta; Bryopsida; Funariales; Funariaceae. The record is from RNAcentral.
GAGAAUUUAUCUUUUUAGGAUUUCAUUGAAAAUAAAGUUAAUAACUAUUUGCAAUAUGUAUAUCUCAUCAUUUUAUCUACUUAAUUAUCACUACCACUUUUCAAUAUAGAGUUUUGUAUUUCUUCUAUAUACUACUUCACUGUGUGCACUCCCAUUGUUAAACUAGCAAAAGUAAACAAAUUCAUUUAUAUUACUGAUUGACAUUGCUUGCAUCUCAACAAUUGAUUUACUUAACAUUAUUGGCUAUUCCUUUCUUUAAUCUACUUAUGUGACUUUGAAUCAUAAAAUUUGUGUUUAGAUUCUUAUCAGUUUCUUCAAAAUAUACUGUAAACAUUGAACUAGCACUAAAAGCUAAUUUCCAUGCAAAAAAUAAAAUAAUAAUUAAACUAAAUUAUUAAUGCCAAACUGGAAAUUGAGGUUGCUAUACUAAUUUUUUUGAUGCUGGUAUUAAUUAAAAGCUUGUAAUACCUUCUGGCAAAAUUUAUUUCAUGUAGUAUAUUUUAUAUUUUAUAUUUUAUUGAUUAUUCCUAGAUUAGAAAAGUUGCAAGGAAUAAUUAUACUUAUGUGGUGAGUUGAAUUGAUUUGAAAUUAUCAAAAAAUAAUCUUACAAUUUAUCAAGAUUUCUUAAGUUUACUGUUUUCAAACACAUUUGUAAAACAAAUAAAAGUAAUAAAUCAUGUCAUGUGCUAUCAUUGAAUAAACUAUGCUAUAAUGUCAAACAAAUAAUUGCUUGUAACUUCUUAAUUUUUUGAAAUCUGUUAUGGAAGUCCUGGUUAUUAGGCAAUUCUUACUUGUAACAACAAUUUUUUAGAAUGUUAUUAUUUAGUGUGACCUUAUGAAAAUAAGAUGAUUUUUAUGCCACUUCAUAAUUUGUACACAUGUGUGAGAAAUCUAACAAAAUUUUGAAAAUCUUAAACUCCAACUUCUAUGCUAACUUCAUUCUCCUUGUCAUGCAAAAGUAUAUAUAUAUUUUUCUUUCUGAGUAAUAUAUGGUAUUAAAGUUUGUUUAAAUAAAGAAACCACUAUAUACAAGUAAUGUAUUAUUGGUUUAUCAUGCACAAGGAUAAAUCAAAAAGAAAGAGACCCUUAAUACAUGUAUUAUUUUUUUUUUAAUACGUUUUGAACUUUACAUUAAUCAAGGUUUAUUGUGUAAGGCAGUUUAUUGGUGUUUCGUUUCAUAACUAAAUCAUUAAUUAAAGAUAAACAUUUCUGAAAAUCUUAGAGAGUUAAUCAUAAUCAUGUACAAGUAUAAUUUAGCUUAAAACAACUAUAAUUAAUUUUCAAUAAUCACAAGCUUUUACAUUCACUCGAUUUCAAAACCAGUUCGAACUUGAUAUUUUUAGCCACAAAACAAAAAUUACUUCUUUAUUUACUUUGAUAUUUUAAUGAAAUAAAUAGUCAACCUACAUAAACAGUGCCAACAUUUGUAUAAUAAUUAUGAAAGCUGAAGACCAAAAAAAUUACCAGUAAUAUACUUACAUACUAAGAAUUGAAAAAAAAAAAAAAAAAAAAAAAAAAAAUUGAAGACGAAGACAAAGAAGAUGAAGAAAGAAAUUAAGAAAUUAAUUUUAUAUAUAAAAAAAUUGUUCCAUGGAAGGGGGAUUUAUUUGAAAAUUUUAAUUCCAAAUCCAGAUAUUGGGAGGAAGAAAACUAAAAUUCAGGAAAUGUGAAGAGAUUUUUAUUCUAGCUUUGAUACAAAUUUGAUAUAAGUGUAUGUUUGUGGAUAAAUAUAAUAUUUUUUCUGAUGCCACGUCACAACAUGAGAGAGAGAGAGCAAGGAACGCGUUCCCAAGUAGGGGAACGGGGUACGUACCCGGAGGCGUAGAAUACGCACUGGUGCUAGUAUAAUAAUCCAUCCCAGAUACCCAUCGAGAUGAUCAAAGUCAAAUGAUUCUAUUGGGAUGUCGCCGAGGUCCUGAAAUCUCGCGGCGUCGCCACUGCUCCUCUUGUAUAUGUUUCCCUGCCAUUGCCACUGGCCCCUGAUAUUGUCAAUUGUCAUCGUCGUCAUUUACUUCCCCCCUCCCUCCCUCUUGGUUCCCGGCGUGGCUUGCGUGCGGUUUUACUCGCUGCUUCUGCUGCUGGAAUCAAUUUUCUGUGAGUAGGCGCUGGUCAUUGCGAAGUCCCUGCCGUGAGGUUCAUUGCAGACUGGUUUGGAGUGUGAGAAAUCGGAGUGGUUGACGAAUAGUGUUCGUGGCUCAGUGGCACGACGUCUUGGAGUGAGCGAGAGGGUGGCGUAGCGGGAAGUUGUUGAUAUUGUUCUGGACACAAGAAGCUGUGAAAGUGGUGGAGGUGGUUGUUGGUGAAGAUUCAGCAGAGCGGAAUUCGGCAGUGAAUUGCAAUCGAGAAGAGACGAUAGCUGCGAGAGCUUGUUUGUAACGACGAGAAACAGCCGGUUGGGGAGAGAAGAAGCGUGUAUGUCUGAUAGUGCGGGUCUAGGGAAGGAGUAUCCAGGCAUCGGGGUGCUAGAAAAGCCCUGUCAAUGGCCUCACAUACGAAGUCGCCGAAGAUUUGCUGCGACUCGCCCGCCUCUCCUCUCGAGGAUUUCGAUUCGGACGCAUCUUCAACCUCGUUUUCGUCUGAAUCGUCUCUCUUAGGCACCAACAUGGCUCGAAGUUUGGAGCCUCAGCCAGCCUCAGGAGAAGUUUUAGGGAUGAUGGAGGAACACAUUGACCAACAAGACCAUCACAGGAACAUCAAGGUUCCUUACGGUUCCAUAGAUUCUGCAACCACGGUUGCUGGAAGCACCUUGAAAGGUUGCAUUCCUCGCCCGACACAAACCCUCUCCCUAUUUAACUUGCAUGUCUAUCCCUUGCAGCGCUCUCCCGUGUCUACUACCGUUUCUGAAAAGACUCGGCUGUUCAAUUAAUUUCUCGCUCCAUGUGAGCUGCUACAGCAAAGAUAGAUCUGUUCACCCAAAGUCUAAAUUCUAGCACGUUUUUCGGAGAGCGAUAGUAUACUUGCUGCUGAGGAUGGAUAGAUCCGUGCACUAUUUAUAUAAUUACUAGAACAAGGUCUUUCACUGAUCAUUAUGUUGAGCGUGCGUCCUUCACCGUUUUGGAUGAAUGGCCGUGGAAGCUCGUAAGGAUCCGAAUUUAUUGACGUGUACGUCGCCAAGUAGUAGUGUUUAGAGAAUUUCAACAAUCAUUAAGUUUAGGCAUCGGAAAGCAUACAAAAGUUAUGGAGCGAUGGCCUUGUAAACUAAAAAGAGUUGAAAACACUUGCCCGCUAGUUGAGCAGAAUCUUGUAGAUACCGAAAAGAAUAUCUGUAACAGCGUCCUCAUCUCUUCCCAGACUGCUCAAGGUUUUACAUUUUGCUGAGCGCGUAACAGUGGAUUUGCACUGAGCAUCUGGGCAGCAGUAGUUAAGCAUCGUCUCGUUUAACAGCUUCCACAUCUUCUGAUGUGAUAUGCCGACGUUAAUAGUUGGCUGAAUCGAUGAGAUAUGUGAUGUAUACCCGUAUCGGCAUAUUCAGCGCAUAUUUCUUCGUUCACAACACCAUGGAGUCGAAGUUUGAGACCAUGAGUGCAAUAUGUGAGCUUUAAGGUUAAUCUUCUCAUCCGGAUGUGCGGACCUAACCUCUUCUGUAGUUUCACUAUUCAUACAAGCUUUUGCCUAAUACAAGCGCAUCACCCGAUCUCUCCUGUAGACAGUUGUUACAAGUGCUUCACUACGCUCAUGUGUGGAAAACAUGGUUGCUUCCUAGCUCUCCUAACCCUAAACGAAGCUUUAAGAAUUCUAGAAAUUUUACCCUCAAGGUAGGAAUAUCUUUUGUUGGGAAGAAAACGCGCAAUGUCCGUCGUUGUGCAUCCUCGAAUGAUCCGCAAGUGAACUGAGCAAUGAAGAUUGACGAUGACCCGUACGUUUAACUGCGCACGAGGUUUUUAAUCUCCUGGAAAGGGUUCAUAUAAUUCAUGAACAUGAGAUGUAGCACUCCGCGAGAAUAUAUAAUUAACACACUUAUCAUGAUGCUUGUUUUGUUGUUCUCUGUCAGUCCAAAGAGGAAGCACUCUCGUAGCGACGCGAAUCUCCGAUGAUUGCAGAAUUGUUUGGGUGGCUUUCUGAAAGAGCCACAGUUGGUCGUUGUGUGAGGACUAAUAUAAUGGAGUAUGUAGUGCUACAGUAGGUGAAACAUGAGACAUUGUCUAAAGUUUGAAGCCGGUGCCUUAUCUGUCCAUAUCAUUAAUAAUUGCGCAGGAGCACCAAUGCUUGUCUUGAGGUCUCAGUCAGCGCACCCUUUGGAUCCUUUGAGUCCCACCGAGAUUGCCGUUGCUAUAGCCACUGUCAGGGCGGCAGGUGAAACACCAGAAGUAAGUGUACAAGAUGUGCUCAUUCCCUUCUUUUUCAGUUGAGAGCUUAUCACUUAUCUCUUAGUCGGAAAUGUUUGUAACCUGAACUACUGAGUCGAAGAGUAGAUUGGCAUGUUUGUCUCCUCAGUUUUUUGUCAGUUCUUCCCUGCUGUGGACGUCGAGCAUCACCGCUUUUCGUUUUGUAUUGACACUACAACUGCCUGUAUUGCCAUGUCUGUAAUUCGCCGUUUCAUCAAUUGUUGAACUUGUUUGGUGUCGGCUUUGUCCGAUUAACUGUUAGCCAACUAAAGGUUGAACUUAAGGGAAGAUAUGCUUCACUAAAGUGCUACUUCUCAAUCGGUGUACGAUUGUUGACGCAAUUUAUUCUUCAUGAUCUUGUUUACGUUGGUUGAGGGUUCUAUAACUUUUGCCAAUGUUUAUUAUUUCCAGGUGCGGGAUGGGAUGCGAUUUGUGGAGGUAGUGCUCAAUGAACCAGAUAAGAAUGUGGUGGCUAUGGCAGAUGCUUAUUUCUUCCCUCCAUAUCAGCCUAUGCUGUUUAAACCCAAAGGAAAACCGACAAUCUAUCCGUCCUUACAGCUACCACAUAGGCAGGCCAGACUCGUUGUUUACAACAAAAGAACAAAUGUGACUAGCGUAUGGGUGGUGGAACUUAGCGAAGUCCACGCCGCAGCUCGUGGAGGACAUCAUCGCGGGAAAGUCAUGUCUUCUGACAUAAUUCCAGAUGUUCAGCCUCCUAUGGUAGGGGUGCUAAGUCUCUGUAGUAGUCGUUAGUUUUCUCAUUUACUAGGUGGCACGAAGUUAAUUCUUUGAGAAGUGCCUGUGGGGGCUUUUAUCACUGUUCUGUAAGUGACUUUUACAAUUCGUGCUGCGCUGUCAGGAUGCUGUGGAGUAUGCUGAAUGUGAAGCAACUGUGAAAGAGCAUCCGUCUUUCGUUGAAGCCAUGAAGAAACGGGGUAUCGAGGAUAUGGAUCUUGUGAUGGUGGAUCCCUGGUGAGCCUUCUUGUCUUUAUACUCAUUUGAUAACGAAGUACACUGAGGCUGGUAGAGUUGAGACUAUAUAAAAACAAAGUUUAAUAUGACGUGUAAGUUGCUUAGAAUAGUGGUUGCAUUGCAUUUUUUAUGUAACAUGUAAGUCAUGCAAUGCCUUGUGUGCUGGUACAGUUGUACAUAUCAUGGUUCUUGUAGACAAGCUCACAUUUGGAGAAGUUAACCUAGAGUGGGCUUUGUGUGCAGGUGUGUCGGGUAUUACAGUGAGGAAGACUCUCCCAGUCGAAGACUUGCAAGGCCGUUGAUAUUUUGUAGAACAGAGAGCGAUUGUCCUCUAGAGAAUGGAUAUGCACGACCAGUGGAGGGUAUACACGUCCUGGUAGACAUGCAAAAAAUGGAGGUGAUAACGUUUACCUUAUCGUUCAUGACGCGGAAAUAUUAAGAUCCAGUAUCGAUCGUCUAUUCAUCUUUGAUUAUUGUGCGUGACAGAUCUAACGUCCUUGGAGAUAUUAUCUCUAAUGACGGAAACAUAGCUGUGUGAACUCACCUGAACCCUUUUCUUCUCCAACUUAUUGGAAACGUCCUGAGAUGGCAGGUGAUAGAGUGUGAGGACAGGUAUCUGGUUCCUUUACCACCACCAGAUCCUCUGAGAAAUUACACACCUGCUGCUUCUCGCGGAGGCGUCGAUAGGAGUGACAUAAAGCCAUUGGUCAUUUCUCAGCCCGAGGGGCCUAGUUUUCGUGUGAACGGGUAUGCAGUGGAGUGGCAAAAGGUACAUUUCGUGAACUUUCUGGAUGAUUGGUUAGCGAUUAAGAUCAUGUGUCGUAGAAAUGCUAUGGAGAGAACAUAACGUGCCGAAACUUUCAGAUGAGGUUGUACAGGAGGUAUUUGAUUGUGUCUUAAGCUUAAUGGUAAAAAUGCUUCGACUUUUGUGUCGAAAACAUAAUAUUAGUUUAACUAAUAAUAGUUAUUAUUUAAACUUUCUAUCUGGGAAUUUUGUUUACAGUGGAACUUUCGAAUUGGUUUUACUCCAAGGGAAGGAUUGGUUAUUCAUACCGUCGCCUAUGACGAUGGGAGUCGAGGAAGACGAUCAGUCGCACAUCGUCUGAGCUUCGUUGAAAUGGUGGUUCCUUACGGUGAUCCAAAGGAUCCUCAUUACAGGAAGAACGCGUUUGAUGCAGGAGAAGAUGGUCUUGGAAAGAACUGCCACUCAUUAAGACGGGUCAGUACUUUGCUCUUCACUGUGACGAAUUCUAUCACGUUAAGUCUAUCUAUUUCUUAAUCGCAACCAUUGAGCUCCAGUCCAAGUUGAAAUACUGUUAUUUAUCCUCAUUUCGCUGAACAGAAUACUUUAGUCAACUACACAAUAUUUUAAAGACUAGAACAGUUGACGUGAAGAUUUUUUAUGCAAUGGAUUUGUUGAGGAGUUGAUUAUCACUGAAAAGAUGUGCAGGGAUGUGAUUGUCUGGGCCUGAUCAAGUAUUUUGAUGCCCAUUUUACCAAUUUCCAUGGAGGAGUUGAAACAAUCGAAAACUGUGUCUGCAUGCAUGAAGAAGAUCAUGGUGUACUGUGGAAACAUCAAGAUUGGCGAACUGGUUCUACAGAAAGACGUCGGUCACGGCGAUUAACAGUUUCUUUCUUCUGUACUGUCGCCAACUACGAGUACGGGUUUUACUGGCAUUUCUAUCAGGUUUACUGCUCUAACUGCUUACCUACUUGCAUGUUGGACCCAUAAAUGACUUGUUAAAGGAUUUCGGUGUUUUUUGCACAUGUAACUUUUCAUCAAGAUGAAGAGUGUUUGGCGGAUGUAACACAGUACUAAAAGUUUACUGCAAUACGCUUUCUCUUUCAUUUAGUCAGACUUGCUCGCAGAACUCUCCGAAGUAGCUCUAGCUGCAAUCGUUUAUCUUUAGUUCCCGAUGGCAGGAGUCCAUGCGAUGAACCAAUUCAUGAGUUAGCGGAAGCCGUGGGGUAAUAGUUUCUGUGGGUUAGAAAUGUUGUCUUUGUCCAAAUCUCUAACAUGUGCCUUCAAAAUCUUCAUUUCUAUGAUAAGCCUCUUGUAGCUUCUCGGUGCUAAAGGAGUCUACAGGUGUGAGCUCAUAAUGGGUGCCAGAUGCCUGAAGCUGCAAGAGGGCUGAUUGUGGUAGUUGAAAUGCAGUGUUUUUUCUGAAUCUGUGACCUGUUGAGUAGUUGAGAACAGGAUCUACAGCUCCAGGUAAGUUCUGAGUCUUACACAUCCUCGUAGCCCAAGAAGGGAAACAAAAACUUAGUAGGGUAUUACAGACUACUGCUGCUACCGCGCCUUAAGCCGUUAUGGAAUUAGAUUCAUUAAGGUAUUAGAUGCUGGCAUGGUUUUUAACGUGACGGAAGGCGGCUGUGUCACUCUAGCACAGAUGAAUUUUAUGAAUAAUGCUCGAGUUUGUCCUGGUAGCAGUAUGUGCACAGUUUACUUCUUGUGUCUUAGCAAUGUGAACUUGGAUGAGUUCUAGUGUUGAGUAGUGGUGUAGUUGGGUAGCCCUUUGCUGUCAGUGGUGAAUAUCCCUCUCCAAUGUGGCCGAAGGUCUAUUACAGGAGCAUAAUGGGAGCGUGGGCCAUAGUUCGGUGACUACCGUAGUUUUUGCGAGAGAUUUAGAAAGAGGAAAAUAGACGUGGUAUACUUGAUUAUGAAACAAUUAAAUUGUGGUCUUUGGCAUGAAGCCACCUGAGCUGUAUCUGGGCCCUUGUUGCCUCCUCUAAUGCGUGACGAGGAUCAAUAAAGAGGUUACUGGAAUUGCAAGCUUCGACGAGCUGCGUGUUCUGCUCUUAUUUGAGCGCUCCUUGCCCUCCAUGGAAACAGUGCUGAUGGGGAUUGUUUAAAGUGCCUUCAUUCUGCACAUAACGCACACACGCAUUAUGCUGUGAAUGGGCUCUCACAAACCUUGGGAUUCAGUGUGUUUUUCUUGCAGUUUCAAGUGACUCUAGAUGGAUACAUAAUGUCUCUUUGCUUUUCUUGUUGUUUUGAAGUAGUUGCCAGAGACAAUUAGCUUUGGUCUAAAACAAAUAUUUAAUAAUGAGCAUUUUAAUUCUUCCACCUAAGAAAUGUGGGAGCAUGUUACAAUUCGAAGUUGCCCUUUCAAAUUCAUUGCAAGUUGAUAACCAUUUUAAUAUGCUUCUAUUUGUAUCUGACAUGGCUUUGGAGGUAUGUUCUGAAAGUUUUGUUCUGUUUAGUGCUUGGAGUCUCGUUGAAGACCUCGCAAAUUAUGCAAACUGUGACGACAGUAUGCCGCGGGUUCCAUAUUCUGAACAGAAAAUUAUAAUGUCUGUUUGCAGGAUGGCAAGAUUGAAGCUGAAGUGAAGCUGACUGGCGUCUUGAGCUUAGGUGCUCUAAAGGCGGGUGAGAACCGUCGACAUGGGACUGUGAUAGCACCUGGUCUCUAUGCGCCGGUACACCAACAUUUUUUCGUCGCCCGAUUGGACAUGGCUGUUGACUGUAAACCUGGCGAAGGACUUAAUCAGGUACAAAACUAGGGGCUUUUCUUACAUAAAGGUAUCUAAAGUCAUGUAUUGGUGCGCAGGGAACCAGUCUCUUAGUACAUAACUCAAUUUCAUCCUUGCACAGGUGGUGGAAGUGAAUGUGAAGGUGGAGAAACCAGGACCUAAAAACCCACACAACAACGCAUUCUUUGCUGAGGAAACUCUUCUGCGAUCAGAACAACAGGCUCUGAGAGAUUGCAACGCCCUAAGCGCGCGACAUUGGAUCGUAAGAAGCAGACCUUUAGUCUUCAGAUUCUUCUUAUCAAGCUCAUUAAUUUCUGCGAAUGUUUUUCAUCUGCUUAUGUUUAAAAUUUUAGUAUCUUACCAUCGGUUGUUGAUCGGACACUACGACAUGUCAUAGUGACUACAUUUGGACCCAAGUUUUACAGCAUGAGUCUCUGCCGAGGAACUUACGAAACUAAAAUGUUUGGCUUUGUAGGUAAGAAAUACGAGAACAUUCAAUCGAACCGGACAGCUCACUGGCUACAAACUAGUUCCGGGCUCCAACUGUCUGCCGCUUGCUGGGCCAGAUGCAAAGUUCUUGAGACGAGCUGCAUUCCUCAAACACAAUCUUUGGGUGACCCAAUACAACCCCGAUGAGUGUUUCCCAGGUGGAGAAUUUCCCAAUCAAAAUCCCCGGGUCGGUGAAGGUCUUCCUACAUGGGUGAAGCAGGAUCGGAAAUUGGAGGAGACAGAUAUUGUGCUUUGGUGAGUUCUUUCGAUGUCUUGCUGCCCACAGUAGAUUCUGGAUUUCAAUGUCACAAACACGUUUUCGACCAUCUAUGUGAUGGAAGUGCUUCAGAAAGUAUGAAUAGAUGGAAACUAGAUUCUGUUUCUUUGAUUUUUGAAUCACUCUGGACCAAAAUAUUGAGCUUUUGCAAUGUCUACCAUAAACUCGAUUAGUAACUGAAUUAAACGAGUUCGUUCGUCACAUGGGGAUUGUUAGAGUUUGCGUUGUAGUCUUAAUAUGGUGAGGUAUCUCAAUGUUUGUUCAUGCAAUUGCUGUGGUAUGCUCACACUUUCCUCGGAGUCCAGGUAUGUAUUUGGAGUUACUCACAUUCCUAGACUUGAAGACUGGCCAGUAAUGCCUGUGGAGCACAUUGGAUUCAGUUUGAUGGUGAGUAUGUCUGUCGUGUUUAAACCUUGCACUAUGCACUGCAACAGUAAGACCUUGCUUAUUGAACUGUUUUUAAAGAAUCUUAGAUACACAUGCUCCAUUCAUCUGAAACAGUGGUAUAAUAUGGUUGCGUUGUUUUGAUACAGCCACAUGGCUUCUUCAACUGCUCACCUGCCAUUGACAUUCCACCAAAUGAUGCGACUGAUGAGAAUGGUCACAAGGACACAAUGAAGGGAGGCCAGUCUGAGAUGAUACCUCUUCUCUCUAAGUUAUAGUUGUUCUUGUGAGUGGGAAGUAACUAGCUGAAGAAUUGCUCCAGCAGUGUGCAUUAAGUGGGUAACCAUCAUAUAAAAUCACGUCAUUACAAACCUUGUUAUCACCACUGAAUAUAGUGUCCUUUGGGGCUGAUACUGAUUAACUUGAAACUAGGAUAAAGCAUUGGUAUUAACCUGUGUGGUGUCAUACAUCCAUGCUGUGUAGGUAUUGCCCCCCUCUCCUUGUACUAUGCCCAUAUUGCAUCUGCUGAGUUGGCACCUGCAACAUUGUACAAAGGUGGUUUACCUGUAAACUUGCAAUGUUUAUGACCACAAUAUUCUUUGCCAACACUAAAUUGUAUUGAAUGUAGAGUUUUCUGUACAUUGCAAAGUUUGAAGAAUAUGUCAGACUGAGUUAAAGAUCCUCCGAAGCAGUUAUGAACUGUCUGAUUUUCCACGUUUGAAGUGAGAUAGAAUAUUUUUUAUUCUGGAUUUUGAUUGAGGAUACAAUUCUACAGAUUCCAUAAGUGUAGCUAUAGAUGCUUCUUCUAACUUUCUCAAUUUAAAGUGAUCGUGUGACAUUCUGAACAAGUAAUGUUUACGUUGUUUUUCUUAGAAACAAUAUUUGAUAUCAACUACAGACAGAUAUUGAUGCCAAUAACGUGAUUCGAAAUGCUCUACCUCUAUCCCGAAAGGUAAGAGUUAUCCAUAUUAAUGUUCAUCUUUUAAAUUUUUUAAUUUUGCAAUGAAGUUAUAAAAUGUGGGGUCUCAGAAAAUAAAUCAUAGAUUGAUGAUUCCAUGGUGACAUAAUUGCCACUUUAUUAUGGACAUUACUAAAUAUCUAUAAUAUAUCUUUGUAACGAAUGCGUGGUAAAAACAUAAAAUAUAUUUUUUGCAUAUUUUUACCAACUUCGGAGACCAUGAGUUGCAACUCUACUCAUAAUGAAAUGUUAAAUGCAACACUUUCAUAAGAAAAAUAAUAUAGAUAAAAGCUUGAAACCUGAAGCCAAGUUUGUUAUGAGCAGACUUAAGAGCUAAUCUAAUAAAAAUAUGCUCAUUGUCAAAUUCUUUUAUACUCACUUCAAUUAGAAAGAUGUUUAUAUAUUUAUAUUCGAAAGAUAAAAACACUAUCGAAUAGUUUGCAUUUGAUCUUUUAGAGCCUUGCAUAUAAUCUCCAUAAAAUCAAAGAAUGUAAAAAGACGCCCAAAAAAGAAAUAUAUUUAACAUGGAAAACAAAAUAUUUUUAUACUUACUCCUAAAAUGAUCAAAUCAGAAUUCAAAAUCAUACCGUGUGUUUCAAAUUCCAAAAAAAAAAUUAUACAAUAAAUAAAUAAAUAUUAUUACCUUGUAAAGAAAUUCUUACUACCUUGUGUUGCAGAUUCAAAUUUUAGGGACUAUUAAAUAGACCCAAGUUUUUAUUAAAUUGACCCACUCAUCCAACCAUCAUGAAAAAAAAUAAUAACCUCUAGAUUCAUUUCCCAACUAUUGAAUCUGCAAUCAAUAAAAAAAACCAAUCACAUUUAUCAUGCCAUAUUCUUCAUCAAGGAUGGAUCUAUUUAACAUUCUCCAAAUUUUGUUUGUGACUUAUCCUUUGAACAAAUGACUCAUUAUCACAAAAGAAAUUCGAAGCCAAGAAUUCUAUUACAAAUAACCAAAACCAAACAAUUCUUUUACCAAACGAAUUGAAAAAUCAUUAUAACAAUCCCAUGGACACCGAACUCCACACACAACCUGGGGCAUGCGGUGUGAAAGAGGGGAGGGGGAUAUACAUACGAUGGAUGAAUAUCGUCAGUGGAUGACUAUAGGGAUGAUAAUUACCUUUAUUAACUUAGACUAGUAGUAGGUAUGUAUCCCCAAGUAGAUUGUGUGGGACAGCCUUUGCGCCCCCUGCUUUGCAAUGCCCAACUGUAAUGGCGCCAGAGGAAAGUGGAGCUGCGGCAUCUUCCCCCCUGCAUUCCGCCCUCCCUUUGCCAACUCCAUUCUUCCUUCCUAGCUCUCUCUCUCUCUCUCUCUCUCUCCAUGCUUAGAUUCAUUUCUUGCUUCUCUUUCUCCGAAAUUCUUAUUAUUUAAGCUAUGGAAGUCCAUUCUUAAGAGCACGUGAUCAGUUUAGUGUGAUCGGUGAACAGUUUGGAGAAGUGCAGCAGCAGUAGCGAAGGAAAGCGCAUAUUGCUGAGAGUAAAGGUAAGUAGGCUCUGUCUGUGGCUCUGUGUAAUUUGGUAGACGUUACUGUUGUUGAAAUUUGUAGCGUUCGAAAUGCGGGGAUUGACGUUGGAGAUGUGAGAGCGGGAGGUGUGUACUUGUGGUGAGGUCGAGCGUCGCUGUGGAAACUAAGCAGAAGUCAUGAGGGCGUCGUCUCAGAUACAUGAGAAGGUAUACGAUAACAGUGUCCUUUGGAGUCCGAGUUAGGACGGCUGGUGCGUGGCAUUCAUGUGUGUGUACAAAUCUGUGACUGCUACAAGAACUGUGAUAAGCUGCUAGGUGCACGCGCCUCCACAGCGUCGACCGUAAGUAAAGGAGGAAGCGACUGUGACAGUAACGGAUGUCUGACAGGACUCGACGUGAGUAUUGAUGUUUAGUUAAAAAGGACCACUCCUCACAGACAAGUGCUUUGAUUGCUCGGCUGUGGCUCAGGGUUUUCCGUGGCAGAAGUUUCUGCGAGGUGUGAUAGAGUGCCACAGGUGGAGUGAAGAGUGUGAGAGCUGACGGGGUUUUGGAUGGAGUGAGGCAUUUUGAAGCUUUUCCUCGGAGGUCGAAUGUGCAGAGGAAUCGGGUAGCGGGAGUAAGAGUGGCACAGAUCAUCGUGUGGAGCGAGUGUGCAGUGCAUGCGUGCUGCAUUGUGGAAGCCGACCGCAACAACCGUUUCAUACAGGCUUACAUCGUGAUAUGACCGUGGCGACUAAUAAGGUGGUAACGAAACAGGAUCUCUCUGGAUUAUCUCGUUCCCCCGACAGUAUUUUCAAGUUAACACUCGCCGCAUGAACAGUGUUCAGCAGCAAGUAGUGUCUGUAGGCAUCACUGAGCUGUAGCAGCAGCUGAGAGACGUUAAGGGUCCCAGGCAUUCACAACAAAACGGACGAUGUGACUGUCGCUGUGAUUAGUUUUAUAACUUCUAUUCCACUGUGGGAGAGGUAGGGUGGUCGAGUACGUUUGUUGAAGGUGAGAGAAGUACAAGAGCUUGCAUACAAUCAGUCUCACUCACGCUCGACUCUGGGUGCAAUAUUUCGAGGAGCGGUUUUGUGACAUAUUGUAGGGACCCAUUGAAGAAUGAAAAUACGAUGGCACGCCACCGCCAAUAAUUGACGACGGCUUUUCUUGAUAGUCUUCGAAGGGCAAAGGUUGUGGAACUUUGCAGCUGAUCAACACAUUCAAAGACUCCCUUGUUUCAAGAAGAUGCCUUAUUUCUGCAGUUUCAUGAGGAUAACAACUAAUAAGCGACAUCUUUUCGGAGACGGUUUAGGUUUGUUCCUAGCCAAAUUUUGCCCCUUGGACACUUAAAGUCUAUCCAACCUUGAGUUAUAACAGUAAUCGUGAUCUCUUUCCUCGUGAAUUGCUUUGUAUUCUAAACAUCAUACUUGGUUCGUCGUUUUCUUUCUUGUGUGAGGAGACAGGUAAAAUACAUUUCCUUAUUGAGCGAAAGAUAAAAGUGCUCAGCUACUUGCUAUCAACCUUGAAGUUCCUUGAGUUGCUCAUUCCUGGGUUUUACUCUGCUACAGAGAUGCCACUUGAUUCCUGGACUAGAUUUCAUGUUUGUUGUUGGCUUGCCUGUAUACACUAGAGGAAAUUUUGAUCUAGUUCAUGGAAGUCAUGUGAUGCUACAAAAUCUCUUAUCAAGCCCAUACUAAAGUGGAUGGCUUGCUCUAUCGUACAGCUGACUCAGUUGUAUUUGUUUUGGUGUAUUGUUGCUGCAUUCUGUUGUUUGUAAUCGCUGAAGUCAUCUCGUUGUGUAGAAACUAGCUCUAUAUUUUCUCUAAUUUCAGUUGAGUGAAGAUUCUACUUCGAUGUUACACUUCUCUUGUAUAUAUAAUUUUAUAUCCGCGUCUUGGUUUCGAUUAUGGUAUCGUCGGCAUGUGAAAAGCAAGCGAGAUUGUAACUCUACUUUCCAGUUAUGAUUACCACUGCUAUCCACUUUUUCAUUUGAUUCGCUGGUGAUGAGAAAUGCUUCCCUUACUUUAGUCUGUCUAAUUACAAAUCUUGAUAAAUUAUUAAUGUUGACUUAAAUCGGGCACGGUGAUCAUUAAGGAUUUCUAAGUUGUCCCUCAUCCUACUUGACACGUGUUUCUUAGAGUGAUUAUCACCUAUUCGUGUAUUCUUGGUCUUCUCUAAGUGGUCUUGUUGCGGUACCUGAAUGCAAUUGAUCAGCUUUAGCUACUUGGUUUCUGCAAUUCGCAGAAUUGUGCUGUCGUCUUUGCUACAUGAUGGUGUGUGACUUUGAAUCUGCUGGACUUGAUAUGUGUUCGCCGGAACAUUCUGAUGCAGAGUAACCAACUCUUGCUAAAGUAUACUCGUUUUGCAACUGAAAAUAAUAGAACUUUCAUUUUUGAUUUGUUUUGUUUUGUUUUUUCAUUGCAGCUAAAAUAGACGAUGGGACGUCUCUGAUGAUUAUGGUUAAGUAAAUCACUGCGUAGUGGUAGAAUCUUUGAUAUCGGCAGGAAUGGGGAAUCAAUUCACUCGCAUUCGGUCUAAAAAGAAGCAGAGCAUCGAGAAGUCUAUCCAACCAUCCCAUACAGGAACUCUUGAUGAGCAAUCAAUGAAGGACCAAGCAAUGGCAAUGGCUAAGCAUGAGCUAUACAUAGCAAGUCUGAGUGCGCGGAGCAAAAUGCUUCAAGAAACCAUUAUGGAGCCUUCAAGACACAGUUACUCUGGAAGGGCAAGCUAUGGGAGGCUUGAUUUUUCAAGAAGUUACAGUUCUCAAGAUCGUAGAGACAUUGAUUCUUUGCUUGACCCCGUACCAUCAAUGCACCUCAGAAGGGUUCAGGUCAAUUCAGCAUCUUCUUCAUUAUCAUCUUCUUCAUUUCUCUCUCUCACUCUCUCGCUCUCUACACACACGCACGCACUGUACACACACCCACAUGUUUGUAUCUCUAUCUCUCUCUCUCUCUCUCUCUCUCUCUCUCUCUGUUUAUAUAUAUAUAUAUAUAUAUAUAUAUAUAGACCUUUUUUCAUUUAAUCUUUUGGAAUUUUAGGGAUAUCUGACUUACAAUUUUAAAGUCUCACUCAAACUAGUCUCUAAGCUUUUAGUGAAAGGAUUCCGAGUUCAACUCAUACGAUCGGAAGUCUAAAUAACAAUCGUUGGGUUUGCUGAUUUCAGGAGAAAUACAUAGGUGUAAACCUGGAGAGUAGACAUUUCGUUCUGGUGCAUGGUGGAGGUCUAGGAGCCUGGUGUUGGUACAAAUCGAUAGCGCUGCUUGAGGACUCUGGGUUAAGAGCCACUGCCGUUGAUUUGAUGGGCUCAGGCAUCGAACCAACAGAUCCUAACCGGAUAACAAGUCUCAUGCAAUAUUCAAAACCUCUUCUGGAGGCCUUGAAAUCAAUUGAAUCAACUCCUGGUCAUGAAAAGGUGAAGCAUGUAUCAAUGUUAUGACGUCGAUUUCAUGGAGGUCGUAAUUAUUGUUGUUAUUUCAGACAUUCUUUAUACUCUUGUAAAUUGGUUCAAAGCUUCAGCCAGUAGUAGAUAUUUCAGUUUUCCUCAUCUCAGCCUUCUCUAUGUCAGCAUGCUCAACACUGAUGGAGUUUUUGGAUCAAUGGAAGUAUACGAAGGAAUUUGUUGCAUGAGCUUUUCCAUGAUCCAUCUUCUCUGGCUAACUUCGUUGUACGAAUCGCAGACAAUUACUGUGUGAUCAUACAAUGCACGAAUCAUAUGAAGCAAAAAUCUCCACGUUUGAGUGUUAUUUUCUAACUUAAGAGAUAUGUGGUUGUUUGAAGGUAAUUCUGGUCGGCCAUAGCGUAGGAGGUGCUUGCAUUUCAUAUGCAAUGGAGUGCUUUCCAAAUUUAAUUUCCAAAGCUAUAUUCAUUGCGGCAACUAUGGUCAGCAACAAUCAGAGCGCAUUUGAUGUUCUUGCAAAGCAUGUAAGCUUGUUUAAAUCCUUGAAAUUCGUAUUCUGGAACUAUGUACAUUGAUUAUCGAAGGGGAAAAAAUAAAAAAUAAAAAAAUGCUUAUCAUCUUAUUAGCCACAUUCAGCCGAGGUCAAUAUCGUGUCGUUAGGGGCCCGUCCAAAGACUAACGAUAAGUGAUGAGUUCGUCAUAUUUCUGGGUUGAAGUAUCGUUUUACAUGUAUGUCUUCUACUUUCUUGAAAGGCCGAAUUGAAGUAAUAACCUGACGUCACCUUACCGUUCCUUGAGUAGAUACAAAGUCCGGAUGCUCUCAUGACUAAGGCUCAGAUUUUUAUUUAUGGGAAUGGAAGAAGAAAACCUCCUACAGCUCUUACAUUCGACAAGAGCUUAACAGGAGAUCUCUUCUUCGCCAUCAGCCCAGCGAAGGUUAGUCUUUAUUUCUCAAUAUGUGUUUUGAUUAAGGAACUUUCAGCUACACAAGUUGCUCGCCUUUGAUACUAAAAGAUCGUAAACCAAACCAAUUCAUAGAUGCUUUGAACUCUGAAAACGGCUUGCGACUGACUUAUCGGUGAGCAUUAUCUGACAGGAUGUGGUUUUGGCAACUCAUUCAAUGAGACCAAUGCCUUUUGCCCCUGCAAUGGAGAAGCUCUGUUUGACACACUCGAAUUACGGUAAAGUGAGGCGUUUCUACAUCUCAACCACUGCAGAUCAAGCCUUACCAUUCCCAGCCCAACAUGCAGUGGUUGAAGAAAAUCCUCCCGAGCGUGUCUUCACCGUGAGAGGGAGUGACCAUUGCCCUUUCUUCUCUAAACCCCAGUCCCUUCACAGGAUCUUUCUUGAAAUUGCCCAGAUGAAUGGGAAGCAUUAGCGUUAUCCGGCAACCGUACCUUUUACUAAGCUUCAGGGUACCCUAAGUCUCAUCCCUUGUGUAUCCAAUCGUAUUCCGCAGCACUUAGUUUGCGAAGUUGCGGAACCCAAGUGGCUAAGGCUGUAGCAGCCAGCGUUGAGUUCAGCUGUGGGCAUCCUUCAGCAUAUCUUCCUCAGCUCCGCUGCAAGGCCCCUUUACCGUAAUCAACUUGACCAGGAAAAAUAGAUUCAUUUUCUUGUACAUAAAUAGUCAACAGAGGUGAGAUCAACACUCCGUUGCAAUGCACAACGCAGGUGCACAUAAUAAUCUACACACAUCUAGUUUGCAGGUUUCGAAAUGGGUAUUGUACAUCGACCUAUUUCUGGAGUGAGAAGCUGAGCUGGUACUUUGCAGUUGAUAGGUACAUCAUUGCACAAUUUUUCACUGUUUCAACGUACAAAACGCAAGAACUCGAAGCCCAAUCUCGAGCUCUGCAUGGUGAGAACGUGAAUAUUGUUCAACUAGAGAAGUGUCAAAUGAGCAGAGGCUGCAGAUGAUGAGUCGGAAUGUUAUCUCUCAUCUGCUAGUGGCUGCUAAUGAAGUUAUCAUGUCUUCUAAGAUUCUACUCUGGAUCGGUGUCAUACCAAUAAACUACAAAAUUGAACACGCGUAUGCAGUUUGAUACACAGAUGCCUGCUAAAGUGUGCGAUCUUCACUGCGAGACCAUCAUAGCGUCAUUUAUUCGGUUUACCUCGUAUUAAAUUAUUCAGGAUGAACUAUUCAAAAACAGUUUCCUCAUGAUAACCUUGUCUGUUCUGAGCCCAUAGUUACCACCUAGUCUGUGGUAGGCAGAUGCUUAAAAUUUGAUGAAGGAAAAGUCCAGUGCAUGUUCAAUAGGUGAUUCUGGCAAGUUUCCUUAGGUGUACCGUUUCACAAGCAACGUGGUUCUUGUCAAGUGAGAAUUUCCUCAGCUGUUUCAUGUUUCUAGUGAGGCUGUAAGCGACCCUCAAUUGAAGGACUCAUGCCGAAGUGGCUGUGUCGUGUGCUUGAGAUGACUUCUUGGCUAAUAGAAGCGUCCAAGUCAUCAUAAUAUAGGAAUAGCUGAAAACAAAUUCAGCUAAGCUUGAGUCGGGAGUCGUCUCUAAACUUGAGUGAUCUCCACUAAAGGUAGACACGGUACAACCAUUUCAUCCAAUUGGAAACAUUCCUCGUGGGUAAGUUUACAAACCCGGUUGCACUGCAAUUCGUAGUAGACAAAUCUACUCACCAACCCUACCACUCUGCCUGGAGGAGAUGUUAACCUGAAUGGCUUACAUCACAUUAAUCCAGGAAGUAUCAUUUCAGCCAAACAGGGGGGGGGGAUUGCCCAAAGUGUGCUGCUGAAUAACAUACUGUAACCAAUCGGUCAAUUGGGGUCUGAGGAGGAUGAAAGAACUUAGUGAGCACUUGAUCGCUGGUGCCGAAUAAGUUCAUAUCCUCCCACUCAAUGAAGAUUACCAUUCGAUACCGUUGACAUCAACAACGAACCAAAGUGCGUUCGAAUCCACCAUGAGAAUAUUUUCUUCGGAGAAUCUGACUGGCAGUACUGAAGCAAGUAGGUGCCGUACCUUCAUAACGCUUAAUGACCACGCGCUGGAGGAUUUCAUUCAUUUUCCCAGCUACUUCGCAGAAUGGAGAUUUGGCCUUCUUUGAACAUUACAUCUUCAUCGAGUUGUUGCAGUUUCCGCCGUAAAAGCUCUACCUCCAAACUCAUAUGUAGUGCCUCGCGGCUGAUGCUCUCAACCUCCUUCUCGCGCUCGUUUAGAGCCUUCUCAGUGUCGGCCAUACUUGUUCGUGCAAGCCCUUGCCAAGCUAACAACUGGUCUCGUUCCUUCGUUAACUCUUCGCAGCUCUGGAUCAUGGUACUAUACUCCGAUUGCCAGUGCUGCAAGUCGCCUUCCAGAGUUAAAGCGUAUUCUUGAAGCACGUCGUAGUUUAGAUUGCGCUCGUCCAUUUCGGUAGCCCAGUCAACCAUUUGUUGCUUAAAUUGCUCCAGGGCGCGGAUGGCCGCGUCCUUCUGUUUGUUGGCUGUUUUAACUUGGGCUUUUUGAUGCUCGGUUUCCUGAAUUUUGAACUGGAGAGAGCGUGCCAGGGUCUCGUUCUGGGCUGAAAGCCGCACAACACACGCGUUUUGUGCGCUUACUAUGGUAGCCAAAUCCAGUAAUUUGGGCUCAAGAAGAGUGAAGUUUAGAGAUCUUCUUGAUUCCAAUGCCAUUUUCUUGAGAUUGAGCAUAGACUUCAACAUCUGGUUGCUUGUGCUUAGGGCUUCCACACGCGUCUCCAGGUUCUGAACAUCAUUCUCUCUUGUUUGGACAAGUUGGCGCUCAACAUAGAGCUCUUUUUUCAGGGUUUCAUUUGCUGUCAUCACCUCUGCCAGCUUUGUAGCGGACGCCACUAUAAUCUCAUUCAUAGCUUGCCUCUGUGUUAUAGAGAACUUCAACUUAGCAGAUAGCAUUUUUACCUCCUCUUGAAGUUCUUGAACCUGCUCAACGCUGUCCUUACACUCGGCACAUUGGUCAUUGCGCCAGCACAAAAGCUUAGUCUCAUUGAACGAGCUGGAAUUAUCGCAGUCUUGAUGUUUAUACUCUUGAUGGUCGUCAAAAUUAUCAGUAUACGUGUUUGCCUCCUGGCUCGAACACAGUAGUUGCAACUUCUCUACCAAUUCUUGUAGCUCAAGUUUCUCCUCUUUGUGGCACACAACUUGUAGGUUGUUUGCAUACAACGUUGUUGUGGGUUCUCGGGAGCUCUCCAUCUCAUUCCUCUGCAGUUCAUGGAUAAGUACCUCUGCAUCUCUUACUUUAUAUGCUAAAUCUUGCAUACGAUGCUCCACUUCUUUGACUCUUUCGUUCAUGGCCUUCUCUUUCGAGUUCAUAGUUGCUACUUGAGUUAAAAGCCUACCAUUUUCAAGCUCCAUCUUUUUCAAUUUCUCCUCCAUUAACUUCCCAUCAUCAAAUCCAAAUUUGACAUAUUCUCCGCACAAGAGAUCUGAAAUUUCCACAAGUCUGGCUUUCGCUCCGGCUCGAAAGAACCCUCUUUCCCCAAAUUGCUUUGCCAUGGCUUCUGAUGCCUUGGGUUGCAGAAGUGCAUCACAAUCUUCAUCAAUAUGAAGAUUUGAGUUGAUCGCCAUUAGUGCUAGAACAGGUCGACUCACUAAACCUUCUUCGAAAUGCCUUACUUGUUUCUGACGGUUCAGUCAGAGAAUGGCAGCUGGAUUUGCCAAUACAGGUGAGAUGCAAAACGCGCCCAACUGAAAACUGCGACAACCGUUUCUCAGUAAGCAUGUGAAGCACAUGAAUACUGUAUAUGACAUGGUUGACUUUGACGCUGUAUAUCGUUUUAAACGAUUAAAUGCCAUUUGUUUAAGUUAUACAAUUGAGGUGUACUAAGACUAGAUCAUGAUCUCAGCUGUUGACGAGUGAAAAUUGUUCUGUAAGAUAAUAAAUGAAUUAACAGUUGUGAUGCUUUGUACACACACUGUAUAAUGUACUUGCCCGUGGCAAGCUGAAGCAUUAUUCAUGCAGUGGUCAUCAGAUUUCAACUUCUGAAGUAGAGUGAAGGAACCAACUCUUUCAUAAUCUGAGGACCACUGCAUGAAUAAACUGCAUUCUAGAUUAUGAAAGACUCCUGCAUGAAACCAACUCUUUCAUAACAGAAGAGGUGGACAAGAUUGCACUUACCUAUUUCAGGAAUGCGGAACCUCUCAGCAUCAAUUUCUCCAACAUCUUUGAAACCUCUGCAAAAUUCAACACAACGUCACCCGUCUUAAACUAGAAGUGAUUCGUAAGCAUGAUAAUUCCAAUGCAGCCGCCACUGAGUAGUAUCAGGGUCUCCAGUUGAUUCCUGAAAGAAGGCUGCCACCUAAGAAUGAAGGAGAAAGUCUUCAAGUGCCUUAUACUAAUGCCAGAAGGACAUUCUUCGGGACAAUCUAAAGAGGGCAACCACCAACUGGUUAACACUAGAGAAAAUCAAGGUAUCACAUGAAGAAACUAAAAAGUUGCACCUAGGCCACUUUGUCGUGUAAAUUGAAUACUAGAAUGCGGCCUCUACACAGUUUGACUUAGGAUGGACAGUCCAAGGAGGUUUGUAGCUAUUACACUGUCUAAAACUUUAAGCGCCUACUUAAUCCUCUUAAAUUAGACCUUGCGCCUGUGUUCUGUUCGGAAAUGAUCGGAUUAUACAAAUCCGUUUCGAAAGGGAUCCUGUGGCCAUGAUUAAAAUCGGUUCACACUUCGACUUGCGCAGGAGUAAAUCCUCAAGAGUUUGGCAUGAUAAAAUCCUCUUGACCUAUCGUUAACGGUAAGUUCCACAUCGCUCCUAUUCUUGCUAGUCCAAAAAUAUGGUCCGAGUUUGAAGAACCUCUUUCAGGACUUUCACAAUCAUGAGCUUCGGGAAUUUGAUGUCUAUUUACAAUUAACGGUCCAAAUAUUGUCUCCAAACGUUCCAGGGUGCUGCAAUUGUAGAUAGAGUCUAAAUGAAAGUCUUGAAUAUUUGGUUUAUGAAAAGGGGAUGAUUCAUGUGGAAUCAGAAGUUCCUACCCAGAACUAUUGUCUAAGAAAAUUUUGACGCGCAAAAACACGCUAGAUAUUUUAUAGAAUUUUGUUUGUCUCUCUUGCCAAGUGUGCACAAAUUCGUGAAGAGAAACUCACAGAAAGUAAAUAGCCACUACGACAUAAGCUCAACUGCAAUCCCUCAGUCGCCUGCAGCACCACCAUUUCACUAAUCCCGUCACCUCUGUUAGCUGCAGACAAACAAGAGUAGCACCUCCAUGAGAUUUUGCGAGGCAAUAACGCACGGAUCACUACAUUAAAAACCUAUUCAGUACAUUGAAGAAGCCGAGAUGUGAUGACCUUUAUUAAAGUCGAAACAGAACCGUCGAGAGCCAUGUAGCUUCUUCGACACCACCGGACCUAACUCCAAGUCAAAAUUCCACUACACAGCAAGCAACACUACAAUCCAUCAACCUCGCCAAAGGACCAAACAACUCGUCUGAAGAUUUUCCUUGGAAUUUAGUCUUCAGUGCAUCAACUAUCAAUUCUUACACGACAUCUUGAACUCACCUCUCCCAACUCUUGGUAAACUCUGAUGACAAGGACCACCUCCUCCCGCCAGGUUUCAAAAUUAUGCGCCUUCCUACCUCCAGUGAACUGACGGUAACAAAUCUUCCAAAAUUUCGCCGCUAUCGCACUGAGUGACUACGACCACUCGUGUACAUUUCGAUUAAGUUCAGUAAACGCUUGUCUUUCUUCGACUGAGUAAAUAAAUUUAAGUGGACACACCUAGGAGGAAAGUGGGGGGAGGAGAAAGCAGAGGGAAUUCUGUUGACGCCGCAGUGCUCCCUCACAGCCGAAGUGCUACAAUCCUACGCUGGGACCACGGAUACCUUCACGCCUUGAUAGAGCUACUGAAACUUCGGCUGACCUUCAAAAACGUAACACUACUUCAGAUGCAGGAAACGAAUCCUUGGCAUGUAUUCGCAAUUGCGUGAACUGCAAGACCAGCACUUACUCGCGUUCCACCGUAAUGAAACAGCGAAGAGCUUCAAAAAUCUCAACACCAACUGUUACGUUCCGUUACAAACCACCAUCAAAGUGGACGUCAAGGUCGAAACGCCUACGCUCAACCAAACUCUUCACAAUCGCCCUACCUCUACGACUUCACUUCGAUGCUCAGGUAAUAGAUAAUUGAGGGCUUAAAGCAACAGUUGUCUCACCUCAACGGCUCAAGGGCAACUCUCGGGCAAGAUGAAAACGCCACGGUUCAAGAAAGCGAAUCAGUCUCUUCAACAUGCUCGACACCGACGUGAGCAAAAGUAAAAUUGCUUACAACUCUCUCAAUACGACACAAAAUCAACUCCACUAUCAAAAAAGCAAAAAGAUGAAACGAAAUAAAUAAAUAAAAAUAAAAAUAAAAUGAUGCCAACCACAGCUACACUCCACGCACGCUCUCAUUCCUUAGACAAUUCCUAAGUCCUUGUGCGACAAAUCCAAUCAGUACGAAUCAUCGUCCUCCUCCUCCUCUAAAGAAAUGCGAAUGCAGCAUGUAAAGCCAAAACUCUCAUCACUGAGCGGAAUUUGAUUUUUUUUCGGUGUGCUAAGUAUGCUGGUGACUUACUAGAGUCAAGCAUCCGCGGAGUUAUUUUUUUCUACCGAAAUCACACACGGAGAGUGUCCCGACGACGUUUUCUCGAAACCCUGGCAAUGCAAUGCAAUUUAAUGGAAUGCUAUGCAGCUCUCUUUCUCGGACACCGGUCAGUUCAACAACGAAGAGAAUCUCUCUACGUCGCGGCAUCCUUCUUCUUCUUCUUCCUCGUCCUCUUUCCAUGGUUUUCCCUUCCCAUGGAUCUUCUUUUGUAGUGUGUGCUACUUUUAAGCUGUAGUUGCAUUCAAUUGGUAUUCAGUAUUUCUAUCAUCCUAUUUAUUCAUGAGCAUGAAGUAUAUGGGAAUGAAUUAACAUUUAUAUCAAAUUUACUUACACUUUGUUACUUCAAGCAUUAUCUUUUUUUUAUUCCGUAGAUUAUCUAAAAUCACACUACUUUUCAAAUACGUAAUCGAUACAACAGGUGUGUUUCAUUUUUUUUAAAUGAAUUGUGUUUUUAGAACAAGAUUUUGUUGUGGACUUUAUCUGUUUAAACUUAUGUUAUUCUUACAUGUAUAGAUAAAUAUAGAUAUAUAUAUAUAUAUAUAUUCAUAUUUUUUUGUCAAUGUGUCCACUUGUAAGAUAGAAAAUAAAUAAACAUGGAUAUAUGUAUAUAUAUAUAUAUAUAUAUAUAUAUAUAUAAUCUUAAAAUAAGAGUGCUGUUCUUAUGCUUUUCCUUAAUUUUUGGCUUGAGAACAUAAACAAUGCCUCUAACCAUUCUUUGCAAAAGACCAAAUGUUGACAAAACUAUUGAUUGGCCUUUGCUUGACCAUGGCACUCAUCAUCCAUAUUCCAAAAAGACAUUACGCAAAGGAAUCUUUGAAAGUAACCAAAGCAAAUAAUAAUAAUAUUAAAUAAUAGACAAAAAAGCUGACCCAUGAGCAUUGCCACAUCAGCACAUGGGGUUUUAAAAAUAACAUGGUGAGGAGCUACAUCAUCUGGAUCCCCAUUAUUGGAAAGUUUGAAUAAGCAAGACAUGGGGGCCACCCUUACUCCUUACUCUCUCCCCUACACAGUUCAAUACAUAAAUUCAGUUUGUGAGCCCACGAAUUAUACAAAUAUAUACACAUCUACAACAUAUGUUCCCCAUGAAGAAGUGGACUGAUUGCUUUAAAAGGGGAGAGGGAGAGUCCUUGGCCAUGGGGCAUGAUUUGGGCACAUAACCAAGAACAUUCUGAUGCUGUAUUAUUGCCCCCCACAUCUCUAAAGCCAUCAGGGGAAGGGGGGGGGGGGCAUCUUCAUAUAAAAAAUGCCAUAUCAUCCAUUGAGAAUCUAGGUGCAUGGUCCCCCCCCCUACUGAACCCUAAAUGUGGGAGUUUUGGUGCCUGAGGAACCAGGUUCCAAAGGUUGAGAGCCAUCCCAGGGUCACGGUCAUAGGGGGCUUUGUUAUGGUGACGGGUUCAGGGGCUCUGAAUGGGAACGUUUUAGCAAGGAGAUGAAAAUUGUAUCAUAGAUGUGGUACCUUUGCUUUUGAAAACCUUUACUCUACAAAGAUAGAUGGGAUAUAGGGUUUUUGGAUAGAAGAUAGACUCUUAUUCAUAAGUUUUAAGAGUUGAUCAUAAAAUAUUGUAUGUGUUGCUAGUGUUGCAAGUUAUAGAGCCAAUUUUUCAUUGCUUGGUAAUUUGUAUGUCACUAUAUAUAUAUAUAUAUAUAUAUAUUUAAAAUUAAUUUUAAAUAAAAAAUAAACCAUGAGAAAUUCAGUGUUAAAUUUCUUGUAUGUUUGGUUACUAUAAGAGGAGAUAAUCUGGUGGGAGAAACAGGAACCCAUAAUGCUUAUGGUUGAAUGGCAUGAUAAGAGAUUAUUUUAUUUUAGUAUGUUAUUAUUGUUAUUACUAUUUGGCUUUGAGUAUAGCCAACUUUUAUUUAUUUAUCUUCCAAAGAUCAUUCUUUGAUAGGUUAAAGCAAAGGUAAUAAAAAUGCAAGAAGAUUUUUAGACAAAGAUUCUCUAAGAACAAAACAAGAAUAGCAAUAAAAUAACUCUAUGAAUUUUUAGAAUUUAAAUGUACAUGUAUAUAUAGAUAUAUCUAUAUAUCUAUUCCUUGAAGAUAUAUAUGAGAAAUCUUUGAAGAUAGCUACUCACAAAAAAACUUUUUAUGAUAUAAGUUCAUCAAUUAUAUAGAUUCUUGAUUUGUUAUAGAAGAAUUUAAAAAAAUAUAUAUAUAUAAAAAAAAAAAGUAUGGACAAGAAAAAAACACAAAAUACAUGAUUUUUUUUUAUUACACUAUACAUUAUUUAUAAAAAAUAAAAAAUAAAAACUCGUCUAUUAGUUUAGUCAGUGUAACUAUGAAUAUACAUUUAUAAAUAUUUAUUAUUUAGCAUAUAGAAAAUAUAAAGAUAUAUUGGAAGAAAAUGUAAAUUAAUCAAUAAUGAUAUUAAAAUCUUAAAUAAAAAAACAUAGUGUAGUAAUAUAAAAUAAAAAAAUGGUUACCUUUGAUAAGAUGAACAUAUUUCAAUAUAUAUUUACAUCUUUACAUAUGUAGGGUAUUGUUAAUACCACCAUAGUUUUUGCUACUAUCAUCAGAACCUGCUAUCCACUUAACAUAUUUGUUUAGAUUUUUUUUUUUUUUUUUUUUUUUUUUUUUGGUUCCAUCAAUUCUUUUUUGUUAAUAUUUCCAAUAUGUUGUUGUUUUUGUUUUUGUUUUUGUUUUUUUUUUUUUUUUUUCAAAUUAUAGAAAAAAUAAAAUUACCCUAUACCAUAAUUUUGAGAAAAAAUUACAAAUCAAAUAAAGCACAUAUUACCAAUUGAGCAAAUGGCUUUCAAUAGCCACAAUAACAAGUUUUCCACUACCCAACUUGUUUGCAAUGCUAAGGUUCUCUAGGCUCUCCUCAAAAAACAAAUACAUAUAUAUUAAGUGUAUUCACACUUACACCCAUACACAACCCUAGCAACUAACUCACUAUGCAUGCAAUAUGAAUCAAGAUGGAUGAACCACUCUUCUUCAAUACAGAAGUGGGACCAAUGUUGGGUUGUUUUUUCCAUUGUUCUAAGCACCCAAUUGUUCUUAGAAAAUAAUAGCUUGGUAUCCGUGCCAGGUGGAUGUCUACAUCAGACUACCCAUCAUCUACAGCCUCCUAAUGCACAUGCUUUCUUUUUUUUUUCUUUUUUUCUUUUUUUUUUUCCUUUUCAGGGCGUGGAGUUUAAAAGGAGACACAUUAUGAUUACAAGUUCAAUCCAAGUCAUGGAACCAAAAGUAGUUCCCCAAAAAAGUUUCCCUUCAAAAACCACAUGAUGUGGUUUUUCUGCAAUGUCCACUGUACAUUGUAAUACAAAUCCUUUUUCAUAUUUAUUUAAUAAGAGGAAGAAGAAGGAGAAUAGGAUAACAUGUAGUGAAGUUGAAUUUAUUCAGGAAAUGGGACACCUGAGGUGAGAAGCAUAAUAGUCCCCUGUUGACAGUGAGGUGGUGGUGGAAGGUGGUCGUUGACCACGUCAGCAGAUGACAUGGCCAAACUGGGGAGCUGCCAACUGGACUGACUUGUGAAUCCUGUAUGCUGACUUGUCCAACUGAAUAUAAAUAUAAAUAUAUAUAUAUAUAUAUAUGUAUAUAUAUAUACACAAAGAUAGAUAUAUUUGUUUAUUAAUAAUAAAUAGUGUCUCUUCUAUGAUGAUGAUGAGGCACUCAGUGUUCUCUUUACAUUGCACAACAAUAUUGGCAAUACUCCCUCUUCCCUUUGAGUGAUGAAGAUGAGGAUGAUGAUGAUGAUGCUGCACAGUGGACCAAGAAUUUUGAUUCAACAUUAUCUUGGUGACAACACCAUUCCUAUGCUUAAAUAUAUAUAUAUAUAUAUAUAUAUGUAGAAUGAAACUGUAUGUGUAGUUUUUUAAUUUAUUUAUUUUGAUCACUACACAUACUGCAAAGAAAAACUGGCAAAAGGAAGAACAUUAAUAAACUAAAUAAAAACAAAACUUCUAAACAAUGAUUUUGUAUUUAUUUCUGAAGGAAAAAAAAUACUAAAAUUACAUUCAUAACAGAAAAAUCAAAACAAAUAAAAGAAUCAUACUUUCAUGAAAAUUCAUUUAAAAUAAUUUGACAUUCAAAAAACAAUAUUAUGAAGUAUAAAGUCCUUCCUAUAGAAAAAAUAAGAAUAAAAAACUACUAUUGCACAAAGAUCAAGUUUAUUAUAUAGAUAUUAUAUUACGUAGAUAUUAUAUAUUAAAUAUAAUAUAUUAUUUAAAUUAAAUUAAAAUAUAUGACUUAUUUAUUUUUUUAACUCUAAUUGCUUGUUACUUGAUUUUUUUCCAUAAUUUAACUUUAUUACCCUUUUAAUUUGACUCUAAACAAGUCAAUCAAUAUACUUAUACUGGCUUAUAAAGUUAUCUUCAUAUAUAUAUUUAAAGUAUAAAAGUUCUUUUAAAUUUUACAUUUAGUAGAUUUUUAUUGGAUAUAUUUUAAUUUCAUUAUUAUGUAAAAUUUGUUUCACUAUAUCUUUUAUUAAAUAUAAAUUCCACUAUAUUUAUUUCACAAUACCUUUUAAAUCAUAAAUGAAAAUAUUUAUUGCAUUUUUCUUUUUUAUCCUCAAAAAACUUCUUAUUGAUAAAUGAAACUAAAUGUUAUUAAUUAAUUAUAUAACAGAAAAAAAUCAUUAAAAAAUCAAACUAUAAUAAGAUCAAUACUUUUUAUUUCUACUAAAUAAUCUAAAGAUUUUAAAUCAAUAUUUGUAUAAUUUCUUUUAAAAAAUUAUUUUAUUAGCUUAAAUACAUUUUAUUGUAAAAAUAAAAAAAUAAAAGUAUCUUUAUAAGAAUAUUUUUUUGAAAUAAUAUUUUUUUGAAAAAUUAUAAUUUGACUUAAUUAAUGCUAUUAAAGAAAUCAUGACAUCUAUUUUGAAAAUUCAACAAUAUAAACCAUAAUUGACUACCCUUUUUUUCCAUAGAACUUUAUAUUCAAAGUUUUUAAAAUUCACAUAGAAGAUUUAUUAAAUUAAUUAAUUUACUGAUUUUAUAGAAAAUAAUUAUCAAAAAUUUACUAGACCACAAUCAACAUAUCGACAUAUAGACAUACAAUCAACAUAUAGACAAAACAAUUUGUCAUAAUUAAACAAAUUUUAUGGUUUAUGUACAAAUUUUUUGUUUUUUAAUUAAAUAAGAUUUUAUUUGAUUAUAUCUACAAACUAUUACUUUCCUACUUCUUGGCCAACCAUAUCUUACAAGAUAAUAUAUGUCAAGCUCCAACAAUUAGAAUGACCAAACUAAAGAACUUAAAUGAAACUUGUUCUAUUAUCUAAUAAUAUUUUGAUAUAUUCUCAUAUAGUGUUUUUACAAAAAUUUAAUUUAAUAAAUAUAUAUACCUAUUAAAUUAUUAUAAUUAAAUAUUUUUAAUGUAUAUAUGUAAUAUAUGUAUAUGUAUUAAAAUAUUAUAUUUUAUCUAAAAAUAUGCUUUUUUAAUAUAAUAAUUUGAAUGUCUAAAUUACUUAUUAGCAUUGUUGAAAAAAAAAUCAAGUAUCUUUUAGGAUUAAAAAAUAACAAUAUUCCUUCAUAUGUUUUUAUAUUGAAAAAGAAAAUACUAUUUUACUUGAAUUUUAAAACUUUGAUACAUAUUCCAAUGUGCUAAAAUUUUAUUGUACUAUAUCUAUUUUUCACAGUAACAACUCUCAAUUUAGUACCAAAUUAAAUCUCUUAAAUUAUAUUAUUCUUACUAUUUUUAGUAUUCUAUGUUCAAUUUCUAAUGAUUAGAAUAAAUUAAAAGAAAAUAUGAAAUAAAUUUCUUUAGUCCUUUUUUAUGUAUCAUAACAAAAUUACAAAAAAAGCACAAAAUUUGUCUACUUUGUUCUAGUUUCUAUACAUUGGUACAAAAAAUAUAUUUAUAUAGGUUUAAUUUUUAUCUAAUUUGUACAUUUAGUAAAUUUCUAUAUAUUGAAUUAUUUCGUCUUUAUCUUUUACUUAUAAUUUUUAUUUUAUGUAAUACAAAUUUUAGUGAUAAUAGCUUACAUACCUUAUUAUGGAAUAUUUAUUGUAAACAAACAAACUUGAUGCAACUUAAAAAACAAGUUGUCUAAAAUUUAAUUAUAACUUUUUUAAAAUAGUUUGAUGAAAAUAAUCUUUUAUUUAUUCAUAUCUUCUAAUACUUUUUCAAAGCUCUUUGUAGCUUUUAUUGAACUAUUUAGAGGAUAUAAUAUAAUCUACUAACAAAUUAUAAAGAUUUCUAUUUAAAUUACCAUUCGUUUUAUUGUUAUACAAUAAAAAAGAUUUGGCAUCAAUAACAAAAAAAUUUAAAAGAUUAAUGCUCAAAUUUAAUAUUGUUUUUCAAAAAAUAACAUUCUACAUAUAUAAUUCUUUGAUAGAAAAUUUUUGAAAAUUUUGCAAUUCGACUAUGAAAAAUUGCUUAACAUCUCUACAUAAUUAAUAUUUUUUUUAAAAAAAUUGAACUAUUUUUUUUGUAAUUUAAUUUAUUAUAAUAUAUAUUAAAUAGAAUAGAAUAAUCUUAACCUAAAUAAAUAAAUAAAUAAAUAUUGAGUAAAUUGAGAAAAAAAUAUUUAAUUUUUUUGUUAUUUAUUUGUAAAGAUUAUUCAAAAAAUAAUCUUAAUGGAGCUAUUUUGUAGAGAAUAAUCUUAAUAAAAAAAUAUUUUUUAAAAUUUCCAAAUUGAUCCAACUAUAAUUUAAUUGAUAUUUAUAAUUAACAUUAUUUUUAAAUGUCUUCAAAGAAAAAUACAUAAGAACAUACAUUAAGAGGUGGUUUUUAAUUUUUUAAUUUUAUACAAAAACUCUAAACUAUAAGUUUUUAUUCGCUCUAUUAGUAAUUAUUUUUGUUCAAAGUUAAGUUUUUAAAGAUAGAUUUAAAUAUCCAAAGCUUUGUUGGAAUUUAUUUUUGAAGAUAGUGUCUUUGUCUGCAGCCAUACUUAAAUUAUACAACAUGAACAAAACAUAAAAAAUAAAAUUAAACAAAACAUAACAAAAAAUAAACAAAACAUAGUUUUUUUUUUUUUUUUUUUUUUUUUUUUCUUUCAUUGGUAUGUCAUGUUCCAAGAUGAAAGAAAUGUUCAUGACCUUAAAUUUCAGAGUGGCCCAUGACAUAACUAUUUCAAUUCUGAACACCCCCUCUUCCUCCUUGUCACAACUCUCUCUUUUGUAGGCCCAAAGGCCCCACAAAUACACAAAAAAGACUGAGAAUUUUAUAAAAGUGGUGGCCCAGCUCUAGUGGCUAUGCCUUAUCCCAACCAACCAACCAACCAACCAACAAACCCACCUGUUGUUGGCAGGGCAUGAUAGAUACAAAAGGAGAAAAAGAAGAGCAAGUGCCAUUCACUCAUUUCUUAUAGAUAUAUAUAUAUAUAUAUAUAUAUGUGUGUGUGUGUGUGUGUGAUUUUGUGUUUGAUCUUACAGCACGCACCCAAACUACGGAUGUAUGCAAGUAUGGAAAAGGCAACAAGUUGAAUCAGAAGGCAACAAUCUCCUCUCAUUGGAAUUUCAUCUCCUUCCUCAAGCUCAAAGCAAACCCAUAGCACUUCCCCCAGUCAGCAAUAAGCCCUAAUGCGAAAUCAACAAAAGCUUUAUCCCUAACUUAAACUUUCUGUCUAGAAAUGAGUAGCAGUCCCAGUUCUCCUCUAUGAUUGCAUGCCCAGUUAGUCCCCAAAAGAGAAAGAAACCAAAAUAAGAAUAACACAAAAAAGGCAUGCUCCCCUUUGGUUGUAUCCAUUUCAUCCAUUAUUUAUUCUCCCACCCCCCCCCCCUCCAGCUCUUGUCCACAACCCCAAAUACAUACAUAUGUGUAUAUAUAUAUAUACACUCUAUCUUAAUAAGUUGAACUUUAAUAUAUGUAUGUAUGUAUGUGUACAUUAUAUGUGGAGAAAUGGAGGGGGGACAGGGAGUAUCAGUUUUAUUAUUACACUGCACAGGGUUGAGCUGGGUUUAUGUAUGUAUGGGGUCCAGAAAAGGUAAGGUAUGGAGGAGGAGAAGGAGGAGGUAUAUAUAUAUAUAUAUAUAUAUAUAUAUAUCACACUCAGGAGGGGGGUUGGGAUAGUGUGCCACUAUUAUCAUCAUGUUAUCAGUGAGCCAAAGCAAAAAAGUAAAAGUAAAAAGAAGAGAGGCUUGGUCCACAUUCAAGGAGAGCUCAAUCAUCUCUCUCUCCUGCUUAUUAUUAAGAAAAGAAAAAGAAAAGCACAGAAAGAAAAAUGGGAACCUCAUGGUCUCUCUUCCCCUUUGUUCUUAUUGGUAUUGUUGUUGUCCUAUGUGGCAAAAGGUGGAUGGAAGUGGGGGAGCCUACGUGGAGUUGGGUGUGCUGACUCACCAUUCUAUCUUUUGGACCAAAGUCUCUAGAACCUUCUGGAUGGCUCUUAACCUUCAACUUAGUCAUGUUUUAGUCAUGUUUCUUGAAUUUUAUACAUGGAUUUAUUCUAUUUAAUUAGAUUUGUGCAUCGUUUUGUGAAAUAUGAACAAGAAUAGAAUAUCUGUUUUCAAAGAAAUAUAUAUAUAGAAAGAUUGUAGGUGUGUUUUACAAAUAGAUUACUAAAAUGAUUGUUUUUGUUGCAAUUUAUAAAUAAGAUUUGAAGCUUUGUGUCCUCAGUGUUGUCAUUGACUUCAGAAUAUAGCUUUAAAAUGUUGUUGUGACAUAACAAUGUCAACAUUGAACACAUAUAGAAGAGAUUGUAAUAAAAAGAGAAUUAUGGUCUAUUUGGUCUUGACGUAAAAAAUGGUUAUUAUAGACUUCUUUAAAGACUUGCAAACUACAAGUACAAAUUUAAAAACCACACUUAUACCAGCACUUGGAAUCUGUGAGAUAUUUGGUGGUAUCCUAUGCAUUUUGUUCAGAACUUGGAUAUUAUUAAUUACUACCUACAAGCAAGGUACAACUUGGUGAUACUUCUUAGAUUAAAUUUGUUGUGCUAUUUUGAAAUUGCAAUCUUAACCUUGUCUUUGUUGCACUAUCUCUUAGAAUAUUUUUAAACAUGAUUUAAGUUCUUUAUAUUAUGCUUAUAAUAUGUAAAUAUCAUUAGAUAGUUUAUUGAUUCUUUUAUGCAAUGUCUCUAAAGUUGCCUAGAUAGUAUUUAAUUGUAUUAAAAUUUCUUUAGAAAGACUAUUUUUUGAAACAAAUAUGUCAUUUUGUUUGUUGUGUAUUUGUUGCACUUAUGGAGUUUAUAUCCUUUAGUAUUUGACUCAAAGUUGAGUAAUUUAAAGUUGAGUGAUUUAUUUUUAUGUACCCAUUGCUUAUUUUUGGAGUACAAUUUUUUGUCAUUUGUUUUGAAUUCAUUAUAGAUAAAAUUCCUAUUGCAUUUUUUACCAAGACAAUUGUAAAGAGCCAAUUUAUGCACUUUAAAAAUAAAUGUUUUAAAGCAUCAAUAUCUAUCAUUAACAACUCUUAGACCUUAAGAAGUAAAAGCUAAAAGAACUUCACUUCAUCCAAGGCUAUAAAAUAGAAAAAAAAUUCUUAAUACUUAAAAAGAUUUGUCUAAUUAUUUUUAUUUAUGUAAUAAAUGCACAACGUUGUACUCUAAAAAUUCAUGAUUCUUAUCGAUCUUAUAGUAUAUAAAGAAAUAAUUCAUGUUAUAACAUGAAUAAGUAUUAUAAUUCUAUUAUAAGCACCAUGAGAGAUUCUUAAAUUCUUGGUGCAUCUAACUACAAAAAUUAAUGUAUUUUAUUUAGUAGAAAUCUAUAUAUGAGUAAUAUCCUACAAUGUAGAUAAAAUGGCUUGGUUAACAAAAGAAACUAUUUUAAAAUGCUAAUAAAAAAAUUAAGCCAUCCAUAAAAAAUUGUAAAUUUUGGGUUUAAAAUUGAAAAAAAUUAAGUGGUGAAGAAAUAUUAUGCUUUCCGCAAUAUAUAUAGACACACACACACACACACAUAUAUAUAUAUAUAUAUAUAUAUAUAUAUAUAUGUAAUGUGGGUCACAAUAUUUUUAUUUAUAUAUUCUUGAUAAAAAUUCACUCUUCUAAGAUAUUUGAUAAUUUUCUGAAACAAAAUUUAUGUUCUUUUGAGAUUAGUUGAGAUUCAUGGGGUGUUGUUCUAUUGAACUAUGCCCAAGCAUGUUUGAACACCAAAGUAUGUUUUGCCUGAUUGUUUAAGAUUAAUUAUCUUAAUAUUUAGAAUGUGAAGUAGAUAGAUGUUGUGAAUAAUACAUGAUCUAACAAUUAACUUUUUUUUUUUUUUUUUUUUUUUUUUUUUUGGAGCAUGAAUACUAAUGUUCAUUUAAGCCAAUUGAAAAUUAGAUUUAAGGUUCACACUUUGUAGUAGUAAUUUUUUUGGUUUUGUACAUGUAUGGGUCAAUAUGAAUAUAAAAUCAGAUUAUUAUGUUUUAUUAUUAGUUUUUACACAAAUAAUAAUUCUAUUUGUAAUUUUUAAUUAAGUUUUAGAAUUUUUAUUUUUAUUUAUUUUUAUUUUAUUAUAUAAGAAUUGAUACAAAAGAGUUCAAAAUGUUUCACCUAUUAAUAUUUAAGAUUGGUUUGCAGCCAUAUGACCAAAUAAAUACAUUUUAUUUUUGUUGUGAAUCUCAUAUUAGAAGUCAUUAAUUUAUAUAAUUACAAAAAUAUAAUAAAAUUAGAGCAUAUAAUAAAUAAAUACAUAAAAGACCAAGUUAUACUUUUAAUUAUUUUAUAAAAAAAUAUCAAUUUAUAUUUAGAAUUAUUAUUAGAUUUUAAGUUAGAUAAAUCAAGUAAUCCAAUUAUGAUAUUGCAAACAGCUUGCAUAGUAUAUCCUAGUUUUAUUCUAUAUCUAACAUAAUAAGAUAAUUUUAAAUCAAUACUGUCUUUGAAUAAUUCUAAAACAAAGUCAUUAAUUUAUUAAUAUUUGUUGUAAUUUCUUUUUCUCAUCUAAAUCCAUGGUACUAAUUGAUGGGUCAACUUCUUUAUAAGCAUAGUGUUUUUUUAUUAUGAAAAGUCUAAAAUCCUACUUAAUAUAGUAAUUAUUAAUUAUUUCUUUUUGAGUUAUCACGAAUCAAAAGUUUAUAUGCUUUUCUAUCAUAGAAGUUAUAUCUUUUAAUAGCUAUUUAAAAAAUUAUAAACUUAUUAUUCCAGGUUUAUUGUAGGUUUUUUAGUAUUUUUUUAGAUCUAAAUUGUAUUUAUAAUACUAUUUAAUAAUCAUUCUCAAAUUCCCAAAAAAUGACAAAAUAUUUUUGAUGUUUUCUUAGUAACAUAAAAUUGUAAUAUUUUAAUUACUUAUUCAUUUUAAUUAAACUUUCAGUAAAUAACUUCAUAUAUUAGAAUUUAUUUUUAGAAGACCUAUUACAUUUAGAAGAUAAUUGGUAUUUGGUUGUGAUUGGUCUAAAUUUAGAGUCUUGCAAACAAUGGUAAAUUGUUUUGUAAUAUUUAAAAGACUUACAAACAGUGAUCAAUUAUACAGAUGUGUAUUACAUAUUAACAAAAAGUAAAUUAUAAACUAUGUUAAUUUAGAGAGAACUACAAUAGUUACUAAAAACUUUAAAGUUAUAUUAUCUUUAUUUAAAAUAUAUGUACUUGCAAAAAAAUUAAAGCAUAGUAGCAAAGUGUGUUGUAUAAAGUUUUAAUUUAAAUAAAAAUAUUUAAAAUAAUUUAAAUUUAUUUAAAAAUAGUAAUAUAUGAUAAAAUAAAUAAAAUAAUAGAAAUAAACUUAAGAAAGUUUACUAUGCAUUUAAUUCAAGUAAAGAGAUAUAUUUUUCUAAUAUUGAAGUGGUUUUUAGUCAUAUACGGUAUACAACAUUAUUUAAGUAUUUUUACAUUUACUAGGUAUAAUAUGGAAGUAUGUACAUGUUUUGAGUUUUCAUUCAACCUAGUCAAAUUUAGAAUCUGAUAUUGUUGACUUGAUUAUUUUAACAUAAAACAUUAAAAAUCUAUAAGCUUAUAAAAUAGCUUAAAUUUUGAUAAAAACAUUUUUAAAUAUUAUAGUUAUUUUUUAUGCAUGAUGUUACAAAGCCAAUAAAAAUGACCAUUAUUUCAAGUAGUAGAGAAUUAAAUACUACAAAAUUAUUAGUGUUCGUAAAUUAUAAUACAUGGAAACUUAUGACAUAAAAAAUACAGAAAAAAAAAAUUCAGAAUUUUAUUUAUGAUUUGGAAUAGAACAAAAGUGUUUGCAUAUUUAAGGUGAAUGAUAAGUGAUAAGAGAAGUUUCAUCAAUUUCUUAAAAAAAAGUUUGAAAUUUGGAAUUAAAAUUAUUAUAUCAAAAUUUAAAUAUAUAGUUUUAUGUCUUAUGAAUUUAAUUCCUCUUCAAAGAAUAAAAUUACUAUAAAAUAAAACUUUACACUUUACAUACCAAAAAACAUUAAAAUUAUAAGUCACAAUAUCCAUACUAUUAUACCAAAAACAAAGAAAAUAUUAUAUACUUAGCACUUUGAGUGAUAUAUUUAGAAAAAAUUAUAAUAGAUAAUUAUAUAUAUACAUAACUUAUGAUUUGUGCAACUUAAAUAAAAGAUUAGUUUUUGGUUUAAAGAAACAAGACAAGUUCAAAGUGUGAUUAAAUUUAAGGUUUUAUUCUUAUUAAAAAUUAGAAAGAAAAUCUUAAAAGGUCUAUAAAUAUUAAUAAAGUUAAAAAAAGAGAUUAAUGUUUUUAAGAAAAGACUCGAAAUUAAGUAAGAAAAUGAAAACCCUUUAAAUAAUGUUUUGAUUGUUUGUAUCUGAUUAUUGUUUGUCACGGAUACAGAAAUAUAGACUCGAGAUCUAACAAGAAGUUCAAGAAGAACUGGCAAGAACUAGAUUAAUCAGAUGAAUACAUAAACAACACCAGAGAGGUGAGCUAGAGUUCUAAGAGAUGUGAUGUCGAGACUGAAGAACUCUUCAACCUCGAUUCCAAUAUAUACUCCUAUUUAGGAAGCUUCUAAAGCAACUUCUACCAACUAGGAAGCUUCUAGAAGGUUCCAGAGACUUGUUUCUAGAAGGUUCUAGAAACUUGUCUCUAGAAGGUUCUAAGGACUAUGUCCCUAACAUCACCCCCUCCUUUAGCUUUGAGGUCUCUGAGAAGUAAUAUUGUUGUUAAUCAGUACCAACGCAAGAAAAUGAAGAUCUGUCGCAUAACGUCUGCUAUGAACUCCAAUUGUUGUUCACGAGGCAAGUGGUUCAUCGGCCCUUGAAGCCAACGGUAGUGGCCCACUCCUUCAUCUUUUGACCAAGCAUGAACUUCCGUGUCCUCAUUGUGAAAUUGUCCUACAAACACGCCUUCUGGCUGACCAUUGUAAGUAGGUUCUAACUCAAAUACAAUCACCAGUGAUCGGUUACUCGAUAUCCUCCAUUGUCGUCGUGGUGUAGGCGGUUCUUCAUCUCGGGGUCGCCUUCGUGAGCUAGUCGGUUGAGAUAAUCUGACUGACAUAGUAUCUAUCUCUUGGCUAUCCAUAUCAGAAGACCAAACUAUGGCUACCGAAAAAAUUCUACUUUAUCUUGGAAAAAAUAACUACAUCAAUUGCGAAUUUUGGUGGUGUUCUCCCCCUUUCUUAUAUUCUUGGGUGAGCAAGCUUUAAAAGGAAGCUAUCGUCGAACCGGCUUAGGUUUAUGAAGAUGUUGUUGAUGAAACUCUUGUGCCUUUUGCGUCACAUUGGCAAGAUUUUCAGCUGGCUCCCAUGUUUGCUCAUUAAUGUCGUAGCCGCUUCAAUGAACAAGAUAUUCCAACUUGCCCCACCUUCGCCAUGAAUCCAGUAUCUUUUCAACCUUGUAUUCUUCAUGGUUCUUGAUCUCAAUACUAGGUGGUGGACAUUGCACUCUUUCAAGAAAAGACGACUCUCGAUAAGGCUCCAACAGAAAAACAUGAAAGACUGGAUGUACCUUCAUAGAAGCCGAUAAUUCCAGAUGGUAUGCCACUGGAUUGAUUUGCUUCUGAAUGAUAAAUGGUUCCAAUCUUCGAUAGUCCAACUUAUCACAUAGUUGCUUGGUCUUGAUAUUCCAUGGUCGAUGUGGAAUCGGCAAUGGCUGUAGGAGUCCAUAAGGAUGAUGCCGAGGAUUCUUGGAUCUUGAACAGAUGUCGGAAGAGAGGAUAAAAUCUUUCACAUCCUUCCACAUUUGGGGCCACCAAAAAUCUCGAGAAAUAAGCUCCAAGAUCUUAUUGAAUCCAAAAUGUCUCGCAGUUGGAAAAUCGUGGCGAGAUUGAAGAACUCGGAGUCGUGCUGGUCUUUUUGGGAUAUACAACCGCUCCUCAAAGUAUAAAAGAUCCCCCUCCACCUUGAACUUGUCGUCAUUGGUACGCUGCUUAAUAUCAAUGGCUACUGAAUCUUCAAUGGUCACGGCAUGUACCUGAUUCAGGAAGUCAGCAUCAAUUGGCACAAUAGUAGUGCAAAGCCAAAAUUGCUCUGGCUUCAACAACGUCGUACAUUGUUGAUCAAAUGCUACUUCUCUAGCCUUUGGUACAGGAUACGAUCUCCUCGAUAAGGCAUCAGAUAGUCUUUGCUGCUCUCUAGGUCGAUAAGUGAUAACAAAAUCGAACCUAGAUGGCGACAUACUCCACCGAGCUUGACGUCGAUUUAGAACUCGAGCCAACAUGAAAUACUCCAAAUUCUUGUGAUCUGUGUAUACGGUCAGUGGGUAUGCAGCUCCUUCAAGAAAAUGAUGCCAUUCUUGGAAAGAAUCCAUUAUAGCAAGAAGUUCCUUAUCGUGGAUCUCAUAAUUGAUUUCAGCAGUAGGGAACUUUCGAGAAUAGAAUGCAACCGAAUGGAGCUUCUUUUCUUCUCCCAUUUGUAAAAGUACAGCUCCCAAAGCAAAAUCCGAAGCAUCAGUUUUUAAAUAAAAGGCCUUUGUAAAGUUUAAAUGUACCAAGAUUGGAGCCGUAGUAAAUGUGAUCUUCAGGUCUUGAAAUGCCUUCUCCGCUAGAGGUCCUCAUUCCAGCUUAUCCUUGCAUGUCAAUCGAGUGAGAGGAGUAGCAACUUGAGAGUAAUUCUUGAUGAAGAUCCGAUAGAAGUUGGCAAAACCAAGAAAGCAUUGUACGUCUCUAAACGUCUUCAAAACCUCCCAGGACAUGAUUGCUUCUACCUUCUUGGGGUCCAUCUUCAAGCCUUCCAUAGUCGCAAUGAACCCUAAAAACUCCAUUUCUAUUUAGUGAAAUAAACACUUCUUUAACUUGGCAUAUAGUCCUCGCUCGCGUAGUUUCUCUAAGACCAAACGAACGUGCUUUUCAUGCUCUUCCUCAUUUUUGGAGAAUAUCAGAAUAUCAUCCAAAUAGAUGACAACAAAAUCAUCAAGGUACUCUCGAAAAAUGUCAUUCAUCAUAUGUUGAAAGACCGCUUGAGCAUUGGUAAGACCAAAGGGCAUGACAUUAUACUCAAAAUGGCCAUACCUUGUAUGGAAUGCUGUCUUCCACUCAUCUCCUUCCUUGAUUCGUAUGAGGUUGUUAGCUCCCCUUAGAUCAAUUUUUGUAAAGAUCCUUGCACGUCCAAGUUGUUCUAAGAGACCAGAAAUCAAGGGUAAUGGAUAACGAUUCUUCUUUGUUACCUUGUUAAGGCCUCGAUAGUCCACGCACAUCCGCAAUGAGCCAUCUUUCUUCUUCACAAAUAAGAUGGGUGCUCCAGUCGAUGAUUUUGAAUGACGGAUAAAGUUCUUGGCUAGAUUCUCGUCGAUGUACUUCCGCAACUCCGCCAACUUCAUCUGCGAUAGAUUGUAGAUUGGGCCAAAAGGCAGUUGUGCUCCUUCCUGCAAGUCUAUGGCGCAAUCAUAUGGUCUGUGUUCCGGUAGCAUGUCGGCAUUCUUCUUUUGAAACGCAUCUUUAAAAUCCUUAUAUUACUCCAGUAUACUUGCUGUCAAGAUCUUCUCCCCGGUAGUUGGAGCCACAUAAAUGACAAAUGGUGUGCCUUCCUUAGAUGAUCUUAUAAACGUUCUUGCUCCAAUGAAUAAGGAUUUCUCUAUUCGAGAUUUUCUACUAGGCUUGCUCUUGGGUGGUUUUGUGGGAAAGGUCAUCUUCCGCAACUUCCAAUCUAUGGAUGGGUUAUGCUUUUCCAACCAAGAAAGAUCAAGAAUAACAUGAUUUGAUUGGAUUCUAAUAAUAUUGAAAAUAAUAUGACUACUAUGACCCUUAAACAUCACUUCUAUAGGUUCUGAUUCAUGGGUGACACUAUCAGACAAUAAAGGUCGUCCAUCUAUGACCUCAAUGUGAACAGGUUUGGAUUUUUGUACUAAAGGGAUCUUAUGAUGCUUUACAAAUUCUUCGUCUAAGAAACAAGCAGAUGCUCCUGAAUCUAAUAAUGCUAAGGUUCUCAGUUUCUGAGGGCCAAUAAAUAAAGGGAUUGUAAAGCAAAGGGCUGGUUGAGCAGAAAGAAAGGAAUCUGGUUGUUGUUGCGAUAUUUCACUGUCCAGCCGCACGGUUCCUAUUGUGGCUGGGCAUCCUCGUUUUCUUGAACAAAUGCACUCCUAGUCUUGACAAUACAUCGAUUUUGCUUCUUGGGGCAGUUUCCAACUUUGUGGCCUUCUUCACCGCAGUACAAGCAUAGACCUUCUUCCAUACGCUGCUUUUUUUCUUCUAGAGUAAGGGAUUUGAUAUGUACUACAUCAAUUUACAUGUCUUCUACCUUUGAAUGUGAAUUCAUGCUGCUUGCCAACAUAGUUGGGGCAUGGCGAACCAUAUGUUGUCUUGAACAUUGGUCUUGGCAGUGUUGGAAUAGGCAGUUAUCGCACUUCACAGCUUGGCUAAUAGCUUCAUUGAGCAUUUGUGGAUCAGGAAGAGUUAACAGCAAAUCCUUCACAUCGUCUCUUAAACUCCAAUAGAAUUGACUCAUCAACGUUUCUUCAUCUCAAUUGAUGUCGCAUGCUAAUUGCCUAAAGUCCGAUGCAUAGACUGAUGUAGAGUGCAUCCCUUAUCGUAGUGAUCGGAUCUUUGUUGUAGCCCAUCGAACCUUGUCGUGUUCACCAAAUGCUUCCGCAAAUGCCUUCAAAAAGGUUUCAAAGUUGUUUAGUAUGGACGAUCGUUUUUCAAACAAAAGAGCAAAUCAUAAUAGAGCUUGCCUUGUAAGUAAGGUUCUAACAAGCCCAAUACGAGAUUCCUCCAUUGGAUAGCAUUCUGGCUGUAAAAUUAUUAUCAACCUGAUCUGGUUGACAAAUCCUCCAAAUUUAGAACGCAUACCAUCGAACUUGUCCGAAAGGCUAACUCGGGGCUCCUUAUAUUGUAGAACCAGCGGUGCUUGUCGAACCUGAGGUAAAAUUGCUUCUCCAAGUGUAGAAGUUUGAGGCUGGUGCAACCUAGAUUGUGCCAUCUCAAGUGCUCCAUCAUUAUAAAGCCUUGCCACAACUCCUUCAAUCUUUGCAGUUCUUUGCGAUAACGUAGCGAGGGCAUUCAUGAUAGCAUCCAACUUGGACUCCAAACUUUCCGUCAUACUAAUGUCUUGGCCCCCGGCCAUUCUAAGAGAAGGACAGAAAUGACUAUAAGAAGACAAUAUUGGUUUAGAGGAGGGUACUCCGCAACCUCUAAAAUGCCUUAAGAGAUUCAAGAAAAGGGGUAAUCCACUCUCUCCAAGAAGAAUAAGACUCCAAUAUUGGAACAAAAGAAGUAUCAGUUUAGAGGAGGGUAAUCCGCAGCCUCUAAAAUGCUAGUACACUUCCAAGCAGAGGGAUAAUCCAUACUCUAACGAGGAAGAAACUGGCUCUGAUAUCUGAGGUGAGUGAAGUCUCGACAAACUAUCACGGACACAGAAAUACAGACUCGAGAUCUAACAAGAAGUUCAAGAAGAACUGGCAAGAACUAGAUUAAUCAGAUGAAUACAAAAACAACACGAGAGAGGUGAACUAGAGUUCCAAGAGAUGUGUUGUCGAGACUGAAGAACUCUUCAGCCUCAAUUCUAAUAUAUACUCCUAUUUAGGAAGCUUCUCAAGAAACUUCUACUAACUACGAAGCUUCUAGAAGGUUCCAAAGACUUGCUUCUAGAAGGUUCUAGAAACUUAUUUCUAGAAGGUUGUAAGGACUAUAUCCCUAAUAUCUUCUAGCAACUAAGAAGCUUCUAGAAGGUUCUAGAAACUUGUCUCUAGAAGAUUCUAAGGACUAUGUCCCUAACAUUGUUGUAGAAACUGUAGUCUCAUGUUGCUUAAAUAAAAGAUUUGCUUGAAGAAUUAUUGAAAAAAAUAAUAAUUCAAAUAAAAUUUGAAAGAUUUUUUUAAAAAUAAAAAUAUUAGUAAUUACAUUAAAAGAUAUGUUUAUAUAUUGUAUGCACUUGAUUUUUUUUGCAUAUAUAAUUUUUUUAUUAUUAUUUUUAACAUAUUAGAAUUAAAAAUCACAGGAAAAUGGUCACAAAAAGAAAGUAUUAGAGUCUUUUAUUUUUUCAUUUUUUUAAAAAAAUCUAAAUAUUUUAUGUAUUUAAAAUAAUAGUGAAUAAAAUAUUAAAGAUUGUAUAGAAGGAUUUCUUUUAAAAGAAAAUGAUCAUAUCUUUGAUAAUAAAAAUAGUCAACACAAGAAUUAAUUGUGUAUAUUAAAAUUAAUUUUUAAAGUCAAAGUCUAUUUAUAAUUAGUUUAAUAUAUUAGUAAAUACUUAAAUAAAAAGAAAAGAUGAAAAAGAUGCAUGAAAAGCUAGAAUACAAGAGACAUACUUGCUAAUGUGCUCAUAAAAUAUUUUAUUAAAGAAAAUUAUUUUUAAGAAAAAGAAAUAAAUUUAAAAUAAUAUAUUAACAAAAAUCUAAAAUUAUCAUAUUUUAAUAUUAUUAUAAAUAAGUUCUAACUAUUAAAGAUAUAAUAUUUUCAAUAUUAAGGAUGUAGCAUAAUUAACACUUAAAGGCUCCUACAAGAUAGAUUCCUUACGGUUAAAAUACAACAACAAUUAGAGGAGGCCAAGGUAAAUUGUAGCUACAGAUCAAAAGUUUAGCAAUAUUAAUAUAAUACCAAGCCAAGAAAUAGUUUAUGUAUUUCUUAUCUACAAGUAAAGAAUACAAAAAGUAUAAUCUCAUCUUAUUCUAUAUAUUUAUUGUAUUUUUUGUGAUGAUAAUUGUUUUCUUUGUAUUACAUACUAGUGUUUUAGUUCAAUAGAUUACAUAUAUGCAUUUAAAAAAAAUAAAAUUAAUCAUUUUCUAGAAUAUUAUUUUUUUUAAAUAAUGGAAAAAAAAUUUAGAAACUUAUCUUUUGAAAGAAAAUUGAAUGAUUCUUUGAAAUCAAUUCAUAUAAACAAGAUUUAAAAAUAUAUAUUUUUUGAAGCCAUCACUUUGAAUUGAAUGAAUAAAACUCUAAUAUUCCUUUUGCACUAUUACACUAGAAUAUUUACAAGUUUUUUUUUGAAAAAUAUAAAUUACAUUUAAAAUAAUUUUUUAAACAAAAAAUAGUUUUAAUAUAUUUUUAAAAUAACAUAUCUAAACCAAUAUUAAUUUAUAACUCUUAUUUUUUAUUCUUAAGUUUGAAGAGUACAUAAAGAAAUAUGUUAUAUUACUAUAUAAUAAUAAAUGAUGAAAUAAAAAAAAUACUAAUAUCAUGAUUUUAUAUUUAAUUAGUUUUAUUUCAAAAUAAGAUAAUUAAAAUAAAUAUAUUAGAAUAUUAUAAUUAAUUUUCUAAUUUUUAUGAUUUUGAAUUUUUAAAUUAUUUUUUAAUCAAUUGAUUAAUAAAAAAUUGAAUGACAUUAUUUUAAUGUUGUGUGAUGUUUUUGUAAUAAUAUGUGAUUAUAAAAUUAUACAUACAUAUUUAAAGAAAGCAACUCAAUGACACAAAAAUUCUUCAAUUGUAAUAUAUAUAAUUUUUUGUAUAAAUGAGUACAGUUAAUCUAAUAUAUUAUUUUAAAAUAUGAAAUAAUAUAUUCUUUUAAAAUUUUAUUUUCUAUUACAUUUAAAAACAAGAAAAUAAAAAACAAGGCCUUUUGUUUUUAAAAAAAUUAAUAAAAGAUAUUAACUAGUUAAUCAUAAAAAUACAUAUAUUAUGACUAUUUAAAAAAAUAUAUUCGCAAAAAUAUAUGAAAUCUUAGAAAAUUUUAUUUCUAGUUUUGAGAAAAUGGAUAUUACUGAUUGAAUGUAAAACUGCCUAUAUAGAAAUUAAUACUUAACAAAGAUAUUUUUAGACUAACUUGAAUAUAAUAUUUUAAAAUAAAAAUAAAAUGAAUCUAUCAAUAAUAGUAAAUUUUAGAAAUGAUCAGCUAAAAAUAAUUCUUAAUAACUAAUAAUAAUAGACCUCAUAAAUUUUAUUUUAUCAAAUCUUUAAAGAUACGAUCUUUAUUAUUGUUUUGAUGACAAUACUAGUUAUUUCUUCUUUUCAAAUGUCUCUAAAUAUCAAACAAUAUUAAAUAUUAAAAAAUUCAAAGAAUUCUUAAUUAUAUCAAAUUUUUAUCAAUUAAAUAUUAAUUCAUAUAUCUAUGAAUAAAAUAGAUUUAUUAUAUCUAAAAAAAACUAUUUUAUUCUAUUGAAUUGUUCUAACUACCUAAAUUAAAGAAAUCUAAUCAAAUAUUUAUUCAUUAUUUUUUACUAUUUUCUACCAUUAGGUUUGAAGCUAAAGGAGAAUUGUGAGAAGAAUUAUUUGAAAUUGUUAGCAACGUCAAAUAAUCCCAUAGAAUUAAAAAUAAAAUUUUAAAUUAGCUAAAUUCUUAUUUUUUCGAUUUUAAAAUAUGAUUUCUUCAUAAUCAGAAAAAUAUUAAAAUACUAAAAAUUUAAUUUAAAAAACUUAUCAAACGAAAUUAAAUUUCAUUAUCAAAAGAAAUUACUAUUUUAGAGUUUUUAACAUCAUGUUCAAAUCCAAAAAUGUUUUUUGUACUAUUAAUUUUUCUUAAAUUUAUAAUAUCAGGUAUUUAUAAAUUUAUCUUUGCUAGUAGUGGUAGCUUUUAUUCAUUAUUUUUUAUUUUUUAUAAUCAUUGAUAUUAGAAACAAGACCUUGUUUAAAAGUUUGUACAAAUAAAAAACUUCAAAUUUGAUUUUUAGUAUAUAACAAUAGAAAUGUCAAUAUAUAUAAAUAUAUGUAGAUAUAAUAAUUCUAGAGAUAAAUUAAAAAAUAAUCAACUUUUCAAUAGAUUAUGUGAAUAAUAUCAAAUGAGUUAUCAAUUUAAAUUUGAUUACUUCUUAAUUCUUUGAUUUAAUUAACCUAUUUAAAUUUAAUACAAAAUAUUUGAUAAUUUAUGAGACCAUCAUUAUAAAUAAAUUCGAAUUUCAAAUAAAUAGGAUUUUAACCAAUAGAUUGUAAGCCACGAAGUAUGUGCAUGUAUGUGUAUAUAUAUAUAUAUAUAAAAAGAUAAAAAUAAUAUUUUUUUUGAAAGACAAUACCAUUGUUUAUUUAUAUUUAAUAAACUAUCCUAAGAUGCAAAAUCCUUCAUCACGUUUACAUACCAACAUGCAUCUAAUAGAAAAUUAAAAUCUUGUUCUACUAACAACAAAGUUGAUAAAUAUUAAAAAAUUACCACCAUUAGUUUUUGUUUUUCCAACAUUUAGUCAAAUAUAACUUUUAAUAAAUAGACCAAGAAUAAGAAAUAAUAAGUAGAACUUAAGACACAAUAACGUGAAUCACUUCCAAUAGAGAACCAACAAUAAAAAUACAAAUAAAACCACAAAAUCUAAUGCCUCCAAUAUCUUUACAUGACCCAAUCCAAAUUCUACUUUCAACUCCCUCAUCUUCCAUUCAACAAUUUAAACUAUAAAGUUGGCAAUUGUCAACAUCCACCUCUUCAAUAAAACACUUAUUGAUGUUUCCAAAUCAUGUACUGCAAUGGAAAACAGGAUUUUGUUUUUUUGGGAACAAACUUGGGUAUUGGUGCCAUUAAGAAGAGAUAAGAGUUGGUCUCAACAACCCCCCAAAAAAGAGCAAAUAAUCUCACAAUUCUUUGCUUGAGCAUUCAAUCUCAAGGGUUGCACUAUGAAGCGGACUUUACGAUGUUGGAUAUUCAUCAUCUUCCUUCGAAUAGUUUGCUUGUUUGAGCAAAUCAUUACACACAUUUGAGCAAAUGAUUCUUGCUUUACUUGAAUCUAAGACGGCAAGUUCACGUUUUGAUGAAGAGGGAGACUGUCGGUCGGAGGUGAAAAGUUAUACGCUCAAUCGUUCCUGUGUCGAGAUCAUGCACAUGAUGAACGAGUUGAUCUGGAAGUUACCCAAUUUGAAGUGAAGCCCUAAAAGUUUCCAAGUUCAUGAUUUUAUGCAAAAACACAAUCCACUACUGCAACUGUAGAUCCGUCAGUUGUUGUGGCGUUUUCGAUUUUAUCAGAGCAUGGCGCACUUCCAUUCUCAUACUGCACCGAGUCCCCUUCUGAAGAUCAGGCUCAACUGAUCUGUAGGGCCAAUCAGACCAACAAUGGCAACUUCACAGUAAUAUUUGCGAAGCAUGACAGUGACAAUGAAAUGAAAUCCAGUCAAAACACUUUUUUAUCAAGUCUGCGUCUGCUGGUCAUGAGCGAUGAUAUUAAACCGGUUGCUGAACCAAAACGUCCAGUUUCUGUUGGUAUUCAAGGUGAUAUUAUACAGCUGUAGUGAGUAGUAUGUCAAGUCAAUAACUUCGAGCACCUUUGUUACCAUAUACCCUCUAUUUUACUGUUUAGAGCUAAUGCCUCACAUAAGUCUAUAUGCGUUUAGAGGUUGCCAGUUUUGCGUAACUUUACGUUCACAACUCGGGAAAAUCUAUUCAGCAGUUUUACAACAUGUAGUCCUCUACUUGUCAUUCGAAUAGUAGACGCAGCGUGGUAGCCGGAUUUCAUGUGUGUGAAUAAAGUAUGUUCAACAAUGGUGAACCUACAAAUUCCAUUUCAUUCAUUUUGAAGCCAAGCCUUCUUUUUGCCAAGUCAUCGCUGUGUUAACCCAGAUGCUCAUUCUUCAGUGUUUUGUACACCUUGGCGAAUUUGAGAAGGACCCAGUUGCAAAUGAAAUUGACAGACGAUGGCCUAGUUUUCAAUCGUGAAGUCGGGAGUGUGAGUGGUGAUAAAUGAGUGACCUCUGUGACUGUUUUGAGCGCCAGUGACUCAUGUUGAACUGUUGAUAACUCAUGAACAACCAUUCUAUUACCUUUCAAGCGAGACCCAUUACCUUGCGCGUGAAGAAACGAGGAGAGCAUGAUCCAAAAGACGAGGCACAUUGUUAACAUGACGGCCAUCACCACUCAGUUCGGUUGUCUCUGAAGCUCCAUUGCGUGUGUACUCUAAAAACAAAAUAGCAUUGUUGAAGAGUUUCACUCACAUUCGACAACUAGACCUGAUUGUAUUGCCGAAACAUUGAGUUGAAGGAGUCCUAGCAACCAUCAAAUGAAGCACUACAUGCCACUGAAACUCUACUACAAUAUGAACGCUACUAUUAUUUCAAGAUAGGAAUUGUAAACACAGGUUCAUGCGGCUGUGACCUUGAUGACUAAUUGCAGCUGAUGGAAUUGAGCACCUGAAUGUUGCACCCACUUGCUCAACUUCGACUUUGCUUUCACAAUUGUAAUCGAAUCUGAGCAAGUGGUGUUGAUUAUGGUGUUACCUUGCAAAUAUUUUUAGAUGUAAUGUAUGUAUUUGUGUGUGUAUGUUUUUACAUUUCAUUUGGUUUUGAGGGGGGCAAUAAGGGAAUCAUGAGCUCGUCUGUUCUUUUAACAUCUACGGGGGCGAGAACUAAUACUCAGCCAGACAUUGACAUGACACAACAGCGAGAUUGCCAUGUAAUUGAGAGUUAUGAGCAUCUGAGACCAAAUCAAAAUACAUCAAUGUAAAUACUAUCAGGGGAUGUCUGCAUUCAUUCGAGGAUUUUGAUGUGUGACGUAGCAUCAUUUGAUGAAAGCUAUCUCCCAUGGUAUCCCUAGUACAAGUAAACUUUUCACUAGCUUCAACCAGAUCAUUUUCUACGUUCAUACACUAGGGGUACACAUUCUUCACAUGUUUACGACACAUCUUGCUGCGGUACAACUGCAACACUUGAUCUCUUGUGAUAUGAUUCUUUGCAGACGGCGACUGCGACUGUGGUUUCAUGCAUUAUUUGUGGAAGUGAAAUGGUGGAAGGUAUUACGCUAUUGAAAAAGCUGGAUGAAAGGCUAGUACCGAUGGUGGAGACUGACGGACAACGCUUCAGUACAAAAUAAGUCGUGAUAGCUCGAGCACGUAAUUUUCCAGUCCUGGUUUUCUUGCGUUUUUGGGUACAGAAUUCUCGACAAACUUCUGAAAACAGCCUCUCCAGUUGAAAAUCACAAGUUGGAAAUUGAACUCUGUCUUGUGAAGAAAUUGAAUGGGGAAAGCCACAUUCUUUGGUACUCCUGUUCUGGCAUCGCCCUUUGUAUCCAGUAAUCUCUAUCCUUGAGCAUACCAAAGUGACGUAUGAGAGAUAAGACCCAGAUUCAUCAUACACAGCCAUCAACACAUGAACCUUACCAGUCUGUCGAUCCAACCUCGCCGGGCAGAUGGCUGUGUAUGAUAGUUACAUGUAAGCUUCAUGUCAGAGUAUUGACAGAAACGCACGUCAAGGACCUGCAACAUUCCAAUGCUUCUAUCAGAUACCUGGUCUAGCUAGGGUAGGAUUGGAAAGACUCAAUUCUAGGAUCUUCGUUUCUUAUGGACAUUAAACUUGUGGUGGCUGUGAGAUCUACUGCAAUUGGGUGGAGAAGGUGGUUCCGUUUCCACGAUUACAAUACACUCAAAUUGCUAAGCACCGACAUCACAAAUGUCAUUCUAUGAUUGUUUUGGAUUCACAUGCUGAACGGUAGAGGACGCUGUGGAAUCUCAACCACAUUAGAUUGUGUUAAACUACGGCUUAAGAUCGUUAAGCGCGAACUUGUUAAGAGAAAUAAACAAACAAACAAUUUGAAACAGGUUUUUAGGCAGGUCUAAAUUUCAAAUCAUAAACUCUAUCCGAAAAAAAGGCCAAUUGAGCCGGGAGCAUUUCCAAAAACAGGGACUGAUUGCCGAGGAGCGUGAAAGGGCCCCUGCUUACCGGUCCCGUAUGUAUUGAACUUGACUGUGUCGAACUUCCUGCAAAUAAUACUUCAAAUGUAACAUCCUCUAAUGUCCAUAUAAAGCCGGCCCUCCUCGCACUCCAAGACACAUUGUUGGAAUGAAAUCGUAUCCCGAUAACGAACUGUCAAAACAAUAAAUCUUGAAAACUCCGCCUUCGAUUACUGGAAACUUUUCAAUUCCAAUUACGCUCCAUGUCUCCAAUUUCAAGCCAACGAAGGAUGGUUGUCUAUGAAGCGUGGCCUUCGUUACGUCGACAUGACAACAAACAAAUUCAUUCGCCCCACUCAACUCCAUCGCCCACGUAAAUACCUAAACCCACGUAAAAUCAAAUCAACAUUCGAUCAGCGCAUUCACAUCCCUCACAUCAACAUAAAUGAAGCAGUAGUUUAGGGUUAGGGUUAGCUGCUCUCGAAGCAUGCACAAAGAAUUCGCAGAAGUAUGAGCAGACCCAGUCCGCAUAUGGACACAAGAGCAUAACCUGCGAGCCUUUCAUGCUUUACCAGCUCUGCCAGUGCCGAGGACUAUAAUGAAGCUGCAAUUGCGAGACUAGCAGCAACUCAUGAGCUUAACUACAGCAAAUGCGAUGCACUGCAAAACUAGAUUGUGAAGCUAGUUUUUGUUACCUGCUUGGUUUUUCUCCAUCUAUGGUGACCAGGAAUGGUAUGGAAACAACCAGUGAUUGAUUCACAGUGAAAUGACCUGGGCCAAGUUUAGGGUUUCACGAACUAGAGGUUAGGUGAAUUGUGUUAAUGGGUUACAGUUGGGCCUACAAAGUGCACAUGACAAUUGAAUGAGGGAAUCAUUCUCUCCCUUCAUUUCAUAAACCUCAUGUGUGCAUUUUAUAUGUUAAUAGUUCCAUGCUCAGUUUGCAAGCAUUGUCUCUUGUUAUUGUGAGUAAUGGUGUUGCAGAUUUUGAUGCAUUCUCUUGGAGUCACAACUUUGUUUGUUGGAUUUUGUUUCAAAACUUGAUUGUUUACUGUUGAUGUUUGAUUGGAAAAUAGGAAACUGUUUUUGGGGAAACAUAAUUCCAUAAUAUCUUCAAUAAAAAUGAACAGUUAUGUUUGUCUUAAAUGUAUGUUCGUAACAGCAUGUAAUUUCAAGUGCACAAUUUUUAUUCUUGAGUUGUUCUAGUGUGUAAAAGUGUGGUUAACUCCCUUGGAUAUAGUUGAUAAUGCUUUUUAGUUCUUUAUUGAUAAAAUUAAAAUGAUUAUCACUAGUUGAUUUUAAGUUAAAAUCAUUUGGGUUGAUUGCCUUCCCGCUUAUAAAGGUUUCGAUUUUUUAACUUGUAAAGUAUUUAAAUAGUUAACAGUUCAUUGAUUAUUGUGUGUGUAUAUAUAUAUAUAUAUAUAUAUAUAUAUUGUGAUCAAUAUAAAGUUGACCUAUUUUACUGAGAUUUCUUCGGAAUUUAGGAUGUAUGGAGUAUAAAAAUUAAUUUUUUUAAUACCAAUUCCUAAAAAAAUAAAUUAAAUGUCCUCUUUUGUAAUAUUAAAUUAAAAAAUUAGCUAAUGAAUUUUUUUUAAUGGUUUGCAGAAAGUAUUACAUGAUUAUUAAACUUAAAAUAUGAAUUAAACAACCAAUUUUAUUUUAUUUAUAUGUGUGUAUAUAUAUAUAUAUAUAUAUAUAUAUAUAUAAAGAGUGUUUUUAAUGCCACCACAAUUUUUGCAACUCCUAAUACAACCUCCAUCUGCUACAUGUCAUUUUUGUGCAAUAUUUUUCAAAUCAAUCAAUUUUUUUUGAGAGUGUGACUUGGCAAGAAUAACAACACACUCUCAAGUCAACUAAUGGGAAAAACUAAAUGGAUGGAAAAACCACUAAACCAAAUUAAAUCACAUACAUCCAAAGGAAUUUGGCACCUGAUGCCACAUCACGUGACAAUAAGAUGGAAGUUGUUGUAACAACGCAUAAUCUUUUUCUUUUCUUUUUUUUUUUAGAAAAAAAUUACUUCAAUACUUUUUAAUAUUUAAUAUUUUAUUUAAAAUUCUACACAUCUGAUAAGAAUAUUGAAAUGGUUUGAAGCAUUACAACUUUCUGAUUACUUUUUAUUAAUGAAUUUUUGCCAUUAAGAGCUUAAUUUCUAUUUUAAUUUGGAUAGGCUUCAAUUAUUUUAGUUUAAAUUCAAAAUUAAUAAAUAUACAUUGCACAUUAUAUAUUGAUAUGUUAUUAUUACUUAUAAGCAUAAAAUAAUACAUAAAUUAAACAUGAUUUUCCAGUAGCUGUGAAGAAAUCUUUCAAUAGCAGUAUUAUCAAGAAAUAAACUAAUGUGGAAGGAUUUCCUCAAACAAUCUGAAAUGAUCCUAUUUUACUACAUAACAAUUGUUUCGACAUAAAUGAGAUAGAGUGUACCUGCUCGUGUUUCUGUUUCACAUCAAUUAAAAAACACUGUGCAAGUGACUUCUAAUUACAUACACAUGUUCACCUUCAACAAUCAACAUUACUAAUAUUUUGCAUAAAUUUAUAUUAAAAAAAACAAACAAACAAACAAACAAACAAACAAAAAUAGUGAAUGAAAAAAAUCUUUAUAAUUGUUUCCUUUUAAUUACAUUAAUAUAAAAUUUGAAUUCGAUAUUACAACUAUAAUAAUUCAUAUUUUUUAAAAGACUCAACAAUUAAAUCUACACUCAAUAUCUUUAACUUGAAUUUAGAAAUUUAUUAAGCUGUAUACGUACAUAAACUAAAAAUAUUUCAAAAUUGGAUCCUAUUAUUUUAAAAUUUUCAAAAUAAUCAUCACUUGAGAUUUUGGGCAAUGCAUCAUUUUUCUUUAAUCAAAUUGAACAUUUUGAGGGGAAUUACCAAACUAAUCAAUUAAUGAAUCAAAUUGAGAAAGUGGAUUGGAAAUACUUCAUAAUUAUUGAAACACAUGCGAAAAUCACAUAAUCUUUUUCUAUCAUCAUCAUUUUUUUCAAAUUCACUAUUAUACGACAAAAGUCAAUUGGCAUAUUUUAAAACAAAUUACAAUUUUAAAAACAUUAGUGAUUGCCUGUGUAUGAUACAUUUAGCCUAUCAGGCUACACAUAUCAUUAAUGUUAUAAGAUUUACAAUAUGUUUGGAUAUAUAUAUAUAUAUAUAUAUAUAUACACACAUAAUAUUUCUCUCAAUAAAUUGCGGUUACAAUGUGAUGUGCUCCUAUUCAAAUUCUAAUGAUUUAUAAAUAAAUAUCCACAAAACUUACUUCUAAAAACUUAAAUAUAAGAAUUGUAUUUAUUUGUCUUUAUGACAUAAGCUAUAUAUAUAUAUAUAUAUAUAUAUAUGAAAAUCUUCUUCAAGGACAAUUUAAUUGAUACUCAUUAAUUAUUUUCUCAAUAAAAAGAAAAAAGGAAAAACAUAAAGUACGAUAUUUGUGUAAAUCCCUUUGCCAUUGAUUAUGAAAUUGAUAAACAUUAAUUCUAGUCCAAAUCAUUUCACAGCGAGUAAACUAUUAUGUACUAUCACUCAAUCUCAAAAACAUCUUUUCAACAUCAUUUUUACACCUCCAUUCAUCGUCAUGAUAAUCUCUACUAGUGUUAUCAGUAUUUAAACUUUAAGUUUAAAAUUUGUUUUACUAUAAUCAUUGUAUGUAUUGUACUAAUAAUGUGUGCAUAAAUGUACUUUUAAUUAAAAGGUUCAAAUUUUCCUUUAAAUCUUUAUUUCCAAAGGUGAAGGUUUCAAAGAUGGAAAUGUUUUGUUGUGAGUACUAAAACAAAUGUUCCUUUAAAUAGAGAUUUCACGGGUUCUUGUAAAAAUUGCUAAAUUUUUAAGAUAUGUGGCUCUUGUUUUGUUUAUUUUGCAAAUCCAAAUUUAACGUUUUGGUUUACUAUAAAAAAAAUUAACUGAUUCUACCCUAAAUCAUAUCAGCAUUGUAACAUACUAUGUGCUCUUGUAUUAAAGUAAUGAUUUCAAAUCUGGUUUUUGACAACACUGUUACUAAAACUUACAAAUUUUUCUUAGCUCACAAGCCAAUUAAACUAUGUAUAUAUAUAUAUAUCAUUACAUUUCAAAAUUGAUGAGUAUAAUACCAACAACAAUUAAUUGAUGUCCACAAGCUACUGUUUGCCACCUUUGUAAGGACAAGUAAGUGAACUUUAUUAUAUUAUAUAAUGGAAUUUUAAGAGCCAAAAAACAUGCAAUAAAUCAGAAUAUAAUAAAUAAAAAUAUUACACGUGUCACCACAAAAGAUUAAAUAAAACUUAAAAAACAAACUCAAUAAUAUCUUAUUGUUUCCCUAAAAAUAAACUAAGAAUAUGGAUCAUUUCUUGAAUUAUUACAAUUAAAAUGACGAUAAUAAAUAUUAAAAGCUCUGACCAGUUCAUCAAUCACCGUUUAAAGUCAGAACGUCCCUUUUAUUUUAUAUUUAUAUUUUAUAUUCUAUAUAUAAAACUUUACCAAUAGCUCCAAAACACAACCUACAGCAACACUUACACAACGACAGACAACUUUCCUUUCUUCCUUCCUUUCCUUCGUGAGAGAGAGAGAGCGAGGGAGAGAGCAUUUUGCAACACACCAUGAUUUAAAACUCACGAUCUCCCCUCUCAAUACAAUACAUUAAUCAAUUCAAUGUACAAAUGUUCAUCAUCCGCAGCAAAAUUCAGCAACCCACAGUGGUACCAUACUUACAUACCUACAGACAUACAUACGUUCACAAUUAGCAUGAUCUUUUUUCUUCUCAUACAUAGCAUAAUAAUAAUAAUAAUAAAUACCCAUAAACACACACUCAAAUAGAAGAAGAAGACAUGACGUUAGUUGUGUUGUGUUGUGUUUGUUAGUUAGUUUGUUUGUUGUGGUGGGGAUGUGGAAUCCGGGCAAAAGAGGGGAAAUCAAUAUGGGCCAGGCUGCCCGUCCGUCCUCGCUGAUCUAGGCUUGCUUCUCUGUGCAAAGAUGGUGCCCUGCCUGAGUGCCUGCAGCUUGCCAUGGAUUCUCUCUCAUUUUUAUAAUAAAACCAGAGUUGGACUCAGCCCCAUUCCUUUGCUUGCUCUGGCUUCAUUCAAUCCCCAUCCCUGCCUCUGAUUUCACUCUCUCUCACAAAACUGCCACUUUUGUUGCUUCAGCCGCGUGUGUGAGGACAGACUGUGUGUGUUUGUUGUGUGGAGGAGGAGAGAGAGAGCUACAGCACCCACAUUGUCAACACCGGUGUGAAGGGAGAAUUUUGUAAGGGAGAAAUUUGUUGUUCUUGCAUAUGGGGGAUGUGUGAAUGGGAGUAUGGGAGAAUGGGAAGGAGAAGGAGAAGGAGGCUUGAUGUGAGGUUGGUUUCUGUGUUUUUGUAGUUAGUGAGGUGUUGGAGCUAGGGAAGGUGUCGUGGAUAUGUGUUGUCGUGUGUUGGAUUUUGUGUGUGUGUGUGUGUGUGUUUUUUAGGUGGGUUAGGUUUGGUCUGAGGUAUGGAGUUGAAUUGCGUUCUUGUGUGCAGACAGAUGACGAGGUACGUAGCUCACAUUGCGGUGAUGGUUAUGGCGUUCUUGAUGGUUCGGGAUGCUUGUUCUCUGAGCGAGUGGAACGAGGCUCGUGCUACGUUCUAUGGCGGCAGCGACGCCGGUGGAACGACAGGUACUUGGAAGGGUUGACGGUGCCACACCUCAUUCAGCUCGAAUGCAUAAUGACCGAGAGUUGCUUUUGUUUCUGUAAAAAUUAGAUCACGACCAGGUUAUUCAAUGCUCAUCGAUCUUGCCAAUUUGGCUUGUAGGAGGUGCAUGUGGCUACGGAGAUCUGUACAGCACUGGCUAUGGCACCAACACGGUUGCCACAAGCUCCGCUAUCUUCGACCGAGGCCUUGCUUGCGGCGCUUGUUACCAGGUUAAGUGCGCUGGUAGCGCAUCCGAGUGCCAACCUGGCACCCCCGCAAUUCAAGUUACCGUGACCAACUUCUGUCCUCCUAAUCCUUCCCUGCCUGAAGGCAACGGCGGCUGGUGUAACCUCCCGCUGCACCAUUUCGACAUGGCCAUGCCGGCAUUUCAACAAAUUGCUUCUUACAGAGUUGGCAUUGUGCCUAUCUUAUACCGAAGGUAUGUGAUCACUACCACCUCCAUUCGCUCAUCGACUGUUGCGAGUUUCUUAUGCGUGCUACUUUGUUCUGAAAUCAUUACGAAUUUUGUUUCCCAGAGCUUCGUGCGUGAGGACAGGCGGCAUCCGCUUCACUAUGAGCGGACACAAAUUUAUGAACCUCGUGCUCGUCACCAACGUGGGUGGUAUGGGGGACGUCCAAACUGUGUUCAUUCAGGGGUCUAAGACGAAGUUGGUGGCCAUGAUCCGGAACUUUGGCCAGAUAUGGCAGAGCUCCGUGAACGUGAGCGGUCAGAGACUCUCCUUCAUGGUCAUGACCAGCGAUGGCGAGAGUGUAGUCUCCAGAAAUGUGGCGCCUUCGGAUUGGGCAUAUGGUCAGACAUAUGAAGGUUCACAGUUCUAGCAAAUGCUAAUCCGCCGAGGGUAUUCUUCUCGCCCAUCUCCUGACACGCAUUCGCCUCAUCAAUCUCUCUAACUACACACGAUGAUGCACCGAAGCUGUCGGCAGAUUCUCUGUUGUAGUUCGUGGAUUAAGCUGUACAAGUAAGCAAACGAUCCAGAAGCUUUACAUUUUAUGGUGACGACGACGACUACGACGACGACAACGACAUGAAGGAUACUGUUCUAGGGGCCUCUUUGGCUUAUGGGGUGUUGAAUUCGAAGCUACCUCUGAUCCACGAGGAGGGUGCCGAGGAGGGCAACAACCCCAGGCGGUCGUGUGAAUAGGUGUAAUUCUAUCAGAGCCAGCUCCUGUAGGAAGGAUACAAGUUUAGUUUUCAAUCAGAGUAUCUGGUGCAGAAAUUUCGAGUAGGCGUGCCAGUUUUGUACAAUACCAGUGUGUAUGUGCUUCUCUAGAUCUGUGUUCGCUUCCUAUUUGCUCAUCCAAUGAAACAGUUGAUUGCGGACCCAACUCUUCAAACUUUUCGUGUACUCUUCAACAUCACACGUCUUGAGGUGGGGUCAAUUAGUUUGAAGGGCAUAGCUCCGUGUACAAUGCAAUAACCGUUUAAAUCCGUGUGUGCAGCAAGCAGUAUAUGAGACUCCAGGAGUUCACACUGUGACUGCACCCCCCAACCCUGUGAGAAUGUUUGAUCUAUUCAAAGCAUUUCUCAAUCUGCUGUCAAUUGUGCAUUGUCCUCAUUCUGACAUCUCUUACAAGUCCUUUCCCAAGAGAUCUUAAUCCAUGCCACCGCAGAGACUGCAUUCGCGGAGGAGGCGUCUAUGAAAUAUCCAUCCGAAUCUGGAUCUCGGCGAGCUGGGAGCACCGGCUUGACUGUCGAUGGCUCCAUCAAUCAAAGACCGGCGUUGCAUUAGGACAUAGUAGCACUGUAGCACUAGUACCACUAGGAUUGAAACCCCGCUGCAGCUUUCUUCAACGCGGUCACCUGGCCGACAAAGGCUAUCGUCGGCACCGCAAUCAAAGGCCCCACCUACUCCUCGUACAUCACACCCACCCACCCACAUCUAUCUGGUGGCAAAACCCUUUCAUUCAUUCCUUAUAUUUUAUAAGAAAAACUUCAUAUUCUGGCAGAGCGAGAGAGAGUGUGAUCUUUGGGAAGAAUAUUGUGUUCAGAUAUGUUGCUAUUAUUUUAUGGAAGAUCCAAACAACCUCCUAUAUGCUAAUUUUUGCACAGUGAUAGAAAAGCGAAGUUUUUCCCUACUUUUUUUGUUUGUUUGUUUGUUGAGAGGGAUUUUGGAGUUCUUUUAAUGUUUUUUUUGGUAUGACAAGCAUCUUUUGAGAGAAACAGAAAGACUCUUGGAAAGUGUGAUGAUUCUGAGUGAAAUUUCCAAGUUUAGGUGGUUAAUGAUUUGGCUGUGGUUUCAAAAAUCUGUUGCAUAUUUGAAGACGAGUUGGGUACGCGAGUGAGGCCUUCAUUCAUGUUGUUGUAAAUAAUGAAUAAUAGAACGGAGAUUAAAGUAUGAUUUUAAAAAAAAAUACAUGAAUAUGUUAGUUAGGUACCUUACAUUAGAAUCUACACUAGAUGUUGAUUGAACCACGUGAAUUAAAGAUAUCAAUUGUCUUCCAUUAUAAAUUCUAAUAAAAGGAUGAUGGAGAUCAUUUAAUGUGCCUAUGCCAUGAAUUUCAUGGCCACUGUACAAAGCAAUAGUCAAAAAAAUUGCACGAAAAAAAUACCCCAAAAUAUAUUCAAAUUUUUCUAUAAACCAGGCACUAUAUACAUAAUAUGCAUGUCCUUAUGCAAAUGCCUAUAAAUAUCACAUGUGUUUUUAUUUUAUUUUUACAUUGUAAACUGUUGUACUCUAAUUUCCGAGUGAUCCUUUUUUAUACCCUUUUCACUGUGAGAUAUGAUGAUUUUUUUUAUUAUUAUUAUUUUAUGAAUAACAUUUUAACAUUUGAACACAAGCCAUAAAAAGUCUUAACACAAAAGUUUUUGCUUUCAAGUUUUCUAAAAUUCAAAAUUCCAUUGUUCUUGGUGUGAAUAUAUAUAUAUAUAUAUAUAUAUAUAUGCACCUAUAUAUAUUUUAGUAAAAAAAUAUUUACUAAAAAUUACAAUUGAGAGCUUCCGAGCUCCACACUUGUGACUAGCAAUCUACAGCAACAAUAAGUAGAUUUUGAUCUCUCAUUGAUCAAAAGUUGAGUUGUUGCUUCAUUUUUGCUUCACUUUUAACAAAAACAAUAAAACAUGCAACCAAUCAAAGGUGUUUAUUGUUUCUUCUUGUUUAUUUUGUUGGUUUAUCUCUCUAAACUAUUAUAUAUAUAUAUAUAUAUAUAUAUAUAUAUAUGAGUUGUUCAUACGUAAAUGUACUCAUAUGCACACACAAGCCUUUUUAUUAAUAUUUAUUUUCUUGCAACAAUGAGGGGGAUUGUAAUAAGGUUAUGGGCCCUAAUUUCAUUUCACUUGAAUAUAGUGGUAUUGAAGCCUAGAAGAGUUUUUCACCAGAUUUUCAGUCGUUUAUGUAUGAAUGAUAAUCUCAAGCUUCUUCAUUGUAACCGUAUGUUAAGACAAAAAAAAAAAAAAAAAAAAAAAAAAAAACUCAUCUAUCCUCUUUGUUGGUCUGGCUUGUUGUUGGAUUUCCUAGUCAACAACUGAAAUCCAGACCAACAAAGAGGAUAUAUGAGUUAUUUAUUUUUUUGUUUACAAAGUGUUAAUUUUUUAAUUUUUUAAAAUUUAAAAUAGAUAAUUUGAUAAUCUAAUAUCAUAAAAAUAAUUUAGAAGAUGCUGUAAUUUAGAAAGUUAAAUAUAAGAUUAAAAUGAUGUAUUUAAAUAAUGUUGUAAUUAUACAGAAAGGCUUGUGUAUCACAUGAGUAAAAAUAAUCUAUUAUAUCAAACUUAAUAUUGAACUUCUUUUCUUUUCAAUUUUAUUAUUAUUAUUUAUUUAUUAUAAAAUUAAAGACUAAAUAUUCAUUGUAUGCUCUUAGGUAGUUUUGAUGUCCAAAUUUUUAGAAAAUAAAUAAAAUCAUCAUAAACUAACUAUAAAACUAAAUAAAGAAUAAAACUCAAAAUUGUGGAGUAAAAUCAAUUGUAUAAAUAAAAACAAGAAAAUAUCAUGCCUAAAUAAAAUUAAUUAAAAAAUAUCUAUAGUAUAAAUUAUUUUUUAUGGUAAUAACUUUUCUAAGAAUUAAUUUAAAUUUAAUUAAAUAAUUUCUCUUUAAACACGUUUAAUAAAUAUUAUGGUAAAUGUAUAAUAUUUAAUUUAAAAUAAUUUAGGUUUUAUUUACAGGUCCUUUGAACUGAUAAUAAUUUCUGAAACAAAAACUUUGAUAGCAUGUUAAUUUUAAAUGUAUAAUAUGAAUGAAUCUAAAUCGUGUAAUAUUUUAAAUAGUAUUAUACAUAUUUUUAAAAACUAAUUUUUAUUAAAAAUUAGUAAUUCUUAGUGGAAUUAUACACAUUAGAAUUAUUUUAAAUAAUAUUAGUAAUUUAUGAAUUCCUAAGAAUUAGACUAAUUGAAAUGUGAAGUUAAAUAUUUAUAAAAAUAUUUUUCCUAUGUCAUGUUCAAAAUAUUAAAUUAAAAUCAUAUAAAAUUUUCUGUUGUGCUAUAUAUAUAUAUAUAUAUAUAUAUAUAUAUAUAUAUAUAUAUAAUAUCAAAUUAAAUCUCAAAGAAAUAAAAUUUUAGUAUCUUAAAAUAUUACAAAUAUUUCUUUAAAAAAUAUAUGAGAUGUUAAUAUGUUUUAAUAUUGUGGACCAUUGAAAUGGACAAAAAACUAGAACCAAUAUAAACUUAAUAUGACUUGUUCUUUUGAUUUAAAAUAUACAUAUAUAUAUAUAUAUAUAUAUAUAUAUAUAUAUAUUGAAAUUCACAGAAGAUUUCACAAUUAUAUCAUAAUGUAGAAUUCCAACUAAUUAAAACUUAAACAUAUGUGUGAAUUUAUUAAUCACUCAAAUAGGUAAUUACAUAUAUUUAUUAAACAAGGUUUCUUUCAUUAAUAUUCUAGCUAAUACAUGGUUAAAAAUAAAAAAAAUAAUUAGAGAAUUUUGGCACCAAAUUUUUUUGAAGAAAUAAAAGAAGGAACUGGAAUGAUUUCGAGGUAAAAGUAACUGCUUAAGGGUCUUCUUCUGUUAUAUUAUGCAAAUGUUACUUGUAUUAUUUGAUUACAUAAGUCUUUAAAUAUACUUGCAACAUCGACAGAAAGAACUUUAACAAAGAGUUUUAGGUACGAAUGUGUUGCAAAUUGGUGUGAAGAUUGGGAUAAUUUUAUACAUAAAUUGUUUCAAAGUACAUCCAAGUUUUGUCUAGAAGGUCAUAUCUACUCAAUUUUGAGUAUGAGAAUGAUAGAAGAUCUGAGGGUUUGCACUCAAGACCCAUUGAAAUUUGAAAGGAGAUGAUAGACAGAAUUAGAAAGCAUUUACAAAAGUGAGAAAAAGAAAUAAAUAAAUAAAAUAAAAAGAAAAAAGAAAUUCAGAAUUGUACAUUUUGUUAAGUUGAUGGCACAGCUUAAAAAGGCAUCCCUGACACAUGAUUCUUUUAAGGAAUUUUAGAGUUAAUUAGUGCAAACAAUGAAAUGUAAGAUGACAUUUUUGGAGAUAUAAUUAUGUAACAGAAUGUGUUGUCCAUGUAUUUCAGAGCUUAUAAAUUUUACAAUGGAUGUCUGAUAUUGAAUCAUUUUCAGCAUGUCCAGUAUGUUGUUAGACAAACACAAUUCAUUUAACAAAAGAUUUUUUCUUUUUCUGGGCUAUUUUAAGCAAUUGUUACAUCUACUGAAAGGGGAAGAGUGGACAAAAGAAAAACCCACAAUUAAGCCUACUCCCUAGACUUACAGAAAAUUGUGUAAGUUAUUGAUUCCACACUAUUUUGCAAACUUUAUCCACGUGUGGGCCACGUAGAUGAGGCCAAUAAUAGAAAGACUACUAAUAAAACCGAAGAUUCCAAGAGUGUAAACCAAUUUUUUUUGCAAAGGGGGAAUAUCAUUCAUUUAGUGUGGGUAACCUUGGCACGUCUUCAAACCCCCCCCACCCCCCGCCCCCCUUCACAAUAUCAUACCAGUCAGUCCAAAGAACUUUGGAAUUCCUUCUAAGUCACUUCAGCUGCACGGGCUGCCCCCUGAUUGGUCGAGACCCUCCGUGCCAACUAGGAAAUUUGCCAGGGUGGGGAAUACUCCUCCAUGUCAGCACUUUCCCCUCUUACCAACCAAGUCACGCCAACUGGGCUCGCGUUCGUUUCCCUCCAUGCCUCGCUUUUUCAAACGGACGGCCCCGAAAGUUUGCGCAGCCAGUUCGACGUCGCAGCUCGCCGGAUUUCCUCCGCGACCGAUUUGCAGCCCUUUGCGUGUUGCCAAAACUGUGAACACGACUGCGGUGAGUAUAUCAUGAGAUGCUGUUUCUCUUCACCCUUUUGUCUGGAACUCUGGGUUUCCGUGUGUGGAGCUGGCUCUGUUGUUGAACUGGUGAGUCUGUCUCUCUGUGUUGUGUGAAUUCUCUCGCAAGUGCGCUGGAAUUUUGGUGAAUUUAUCAGGGGGUGUGAUUGGAUCAGGAGGAUUACUCUCCUUGCACACAGAUGUAUCGUGCGUGGUUUGAGUGCUGUUUUUAAACAAGUGAUUGUGAUCCUCCACCGGGAGUGGAACUGAAUUGUGCGGAGACCAGGGUUUGCGUAUCAUCAAACUUAGAAGCAGUCGUAAGUGGUGCUUGGUAGUGGAUUGGUGGGAUGUUUUGAGGGGAUCUACGAGAUGCAUGUUUCACAGCAGUACGUCGUAAUUGUACGAUGGGAAAUUUUCCCCUGUCCACUCCCAACAAUGGUUUGCAUGUUUUGGUGAUGGGAUUUGUUUUAAGUAAUCUGCGGCAGCAUUUUAAUCGCAAGCGUCAUCCUUUCCAGUUUGAUGUUGCCUGUAUUUUGAUACGAAGUCGUUUUGUUCUCAAAUUGUUGUAAUUUGAUUAUGAGAUGAUUUGACAUCGUUUUUUCAAACUCGGAAUUGGCUUACAUUAGUAGUGCAGGAGAUCCAAGGGAGCAGCUAUGGCGAUCGCAACUGGGAUGUCGAAGCUGCUACCCGCUUCUAGUAUUGCCUUCACUAAAGAAUUGGCCGGGCUAAGAGUGAUCCCCUUCCUCCCUCCUCCUCGUAAAGUUUCCGCAACGACUGUCAUAAGAGCGUCCUUGCACGCGGAGGAAUCUGAGAACUUGGGCGAGCAUGUUGCCCAGAACAGAAGAGCACUGAUGAUGAAGGGAGCUCUCGGAGCGAUAGGAAUUCUCUUUCCUAUCUGUGGGGCUCAAUCCGCAAAAGCAGCGGAGGAGGAGGCUGGAGAUACAUCCCCCCGUUUGUCUUACUCACGGUUUCUGGAGUAUGUUGAUCAAGGACUUGUGAAGAAAGUAGAUCUCUACGAGAAUGGCACCAUCGCUCUUGUUGAAGCCGCCUCUCCGGAGCGUAGGAAUCGCAUUCAGCGAGUUAGAGUUCAGCUCCCGGGAACAAGCCAAGAGCUUCUAGCGAAAUUCCGAGCUAAGAACAUCGACUUCGCCGCACACAACGCCCAGGAAGAUCCAGAAAACUCGGUUUUAAACAUCUUGAGCAACUUGGCGUUUCCUCUCAUCGUGUUGGGUGCCUUGUUUUUCCUCAACCGUAGGCAAGAAGGAAUCGGAGGAAGUGGAUCUGGCGGCCACCUCGCAUUUGGAAAAUCGAAGGACAAGUUUCAAAUGGAGCCAAACACAGGUAUCACCUUCGCUGAUGUAGCUGGUGUGGAUGAGGCCAAGCAGGAUUUCAUGGAAGUUGUGGAGUUUCUCAAGAGGCCGGAGCGGUUCACCUCAGUUGGUGCCAAAAUCCCCAAGGGCGUGUUGCUUGUUGGCCCUCCCGGAACUGGAAAGACUCUCUUGGCCAAAGCAAUCGCUGGAGAGGCCGGAGUUCCGUUCUUCGCAGUCUCUGGUGAGGGUUGCUAAGUUUUGUCCGACUUUGAGGAUACUUUACUCUCUAAAUAUGUCAAUGAGAAAUGCAUGAUUCGUCCGGAUAAGUGUCUAAUUGAUGGAUGGCGGUUCCAGGUUCUGAAUUCGUCGAAAUGUUCGUGGGAGUGGGCGCUUCCCGAGUGCGAGACCUCUUUAAGAAAGCCAAAGCAAACGCCCCUUGCAUUGUGUUUGUUGACGAAAUAGAUGCCGUUGGUCGGCAAAGGGGCACUGGCAUUGGUGGCGGUAGUGAUGAGCGAGAGCAGACCUUGAACCAGCUUCUCACAGAAAUGGAUGGAUUUGAGGGUAACACAGGUGUUAUUGUUGUUGCUGCCACCAACAGAGCUGAUAUUCUUGAUUCAGCUUUGCUGCGACCAGGUCGAUUCGAUCGCCAGGUCAAGAACAUUCUGACUUUUUACAUAAACCUCUUGUAGCUUUGCCCUCUGUUACAGAUUGAUGCUUUCGAAUUUUUUCGUGAUGCCACUAGAAUCGGGAAUUGGAUCUCCUAAUUUGUUGGUAACAUUUACGAGUAUUCUGUUCAGGUUACAGUGGAUGUGCCUGACGUGAAGGGUAGGACUGAGAUUCUAAGAGUACACGCAAGUAAUAAGAAAUUCGAGGAGGACGUCUCUAUUGAGCUCGUUGCCAUGCGCACUCCAGGCUUCAGUGGUGCUGACCUAGCCAAUCUUCUAAAUGAAGCAGCAAUAUUGACGGGAAGAAGGGGAAAGACAGCCAUCUCUGCCAGGGAAAUCGAUGAUUCCAUAGACAGAAUUGUGGCAGGUACAUAGAACUCUCCUGCUAGAUCGAUUUCACCUCGAAUCUGCUGUACAUCUUGAAGCGGUUCUUUUCUGCUAAAAUUCUUUUCUUAAAGUAAGUUCGUCUUCGGCAGGCAUGGAGGGAACCGUCAUGACCGACAGCAAGUCGAAGAGCCUCGUAGCCUACCAUGAGGUUGGCCAUGCUGUCUGCGGGUAAUUUCUUCACAAUACAUGCAUCUAUUGUCCAAAUUGAUAUCCCUGGUUCGGCAGGGUUGCAAACUAAUCAGUUAUAUUUGCGACGCAGAACUUUAACCCCAGGCCACGAUGCAGUGCAAAAGGUGACUCUCAUCCCGAGGGGUCAAGCUCGCGGUCUCACCUGGUUCAUCCCUGGGGAAGAUCCUACUCUCGUCUCCAAACAACAAAUCUUCGCUCGCAUUGUUGGUGCUCUAGGUGGACGCGCUGCCGAGGAAGUCAUUUUCGGCGACGCCGAAGUGACAACUGGGGCUUCCAGCGACUUGCAACAAGUGUCCUCCAUGGCUAAGCAAAUGGUGACCGUCUUUGGCAUGUCCAACCUCGGUCCCUGGGCGCUGAUGGAUCCCUCGGCUCAAGGAGGCGACAUGAUAAUGCGCAUUUUGGCGCGCAACCAGAUGUCUGAGAAGCUGGCGGAGGAUAUUGAUCGUGCUGUGAAGCAAAUUUCUGACGAAGCUUACCAAAUUGCGGUAGACCACAUUAAGAACAACCGUGCAGCCAUAGAUAAGAUUGUAGAAGUUCUUCUGGAGAAGGAGACACUCGCAGGAAAUGAGUUCCGAGCCAUCCUGUCCGAGUAUACAGAAAUCCCGUCCAGCAAUUCCAGCGAGAAGAAGCAACCCAAACCUGCAGCUGUGUAACGCAUUGGAGGUGUAGAUCGACUCAAUGGAUUAUUUUAUUGAUUCUUAUUGAGAUUUUGGAUUGUUAAGCAGUUCACCUUCUCAUUGUUAAUAUCGUCAUCUGGAAAGGACAGUCUUUCUUUAACAUUUCAGUAUCUCCACUGCUACCAGGGGGCACAGAAGUGCUCUAUUUUAUAUCAGAUUCUAUGUACAUGCUAGAGAAAUUUGCACUUUCGUGAUGAUGUAACCACGAAGAGGGGCUAUUGAUGACGACUCAUCGGACCAAAUGGAAUUAUUGAGUACUUUUAGAUUUUACACCAUCUGCUCACAGAGUAUGAUAAACCUGCGUCGUUUUUCCGAGAUGUGUGCAUAUGCAACCGCUUUCCUCGACGUCACUUAAUGAGGGCAUUAUUUCUUUUAAUUCUCCUUCCGUCCCAAGUCAAUUAUGACAUUAAUGUACAAUGCAACCAAUAUCAUCAUAGUCUGGUUUCUAACUUCUCACGGAUGAGACUUCAAUGAUCUUUCGUUAGGUUUAAGGAAUAAAAUGACGUUAGCAGAGACGUUUUUGCAGAUGAAAGGGAGUAUUCACAGGUCUCAUAGCGAAUAGUGUACCUCUCCAAGCCUGUACUAACAACUUGCAGGCAAUAUUCAUGGACAACAUGUUACAAAGUACCUACAAAAGCAAAUAUCAACUCAUUUUCGAGAAUUCUCCUGACUUCAUUCAUCGUGCGAUAGCAAUUAGCUAGGACACGUAUCUAGCUCUAACCACGUACGCCUCAUGAGGCGACGGUAGAGACGGACCGAGCAGAGGGCCCUUAUGCUCUAGGUAGUGUAACCGCAAUCUCAGGAUAUGACUACAACUUGUGUAAGUUCAUUGCGUACAGCAAAUCAGACUGUUUGCAAAAGAUAUCGUCAUAGACGCGGUUAAAGAAUACACAGGGCCCAAGCUCGGAAACCUGACACUGGAAGCAUCUUAGAGACACAGGGAAUAUUUCAUUACACUACCAACACAGACAAGACUUUCCCAUUCUUCUAGUCGUCUACAUCAUAAUUCGAAAAACUGAGACCCUAUGCGUGAAACAGACAGUCGCCUCGAGGGUCAUGCUAUUACCUAUAUAUCAUUGCUUCAUCUACAUUCUCUUCUCCUUUAGCUGAUGCACACACAGCGUAACCAAAGGUAAGUCGCAGGAGAAAAUUGGAAGACGCUUUAGGUCGUGUGCAUAUAAGGUAUUUUCACCAAGUUUGCCACAAUCUGGCACGUUGAGGUGCAUCAGCUAGGUCCUCCUGUCGAACUCGCGAAACCAAACAGAAGAUUAUCAAUCGUACUGAAAUCAAUCGACAAGGUCUAUUCAUACGGGCACAUUACAAACAGGAAAUUAACAACUCAGAGUUUGAAGAGAGAACGCUACAAAUCGAGUGACAGAAUCAGGAACCGACGCUCGUCCGUGACGCUCUGAUCCAGCUAGCGAAAUAUAUACUGCGGAAGAGUUAACCUCAAAAUUAGGGCUAGGAUUUUACUGUUGCGAUUUGAAAUUGAUUCCGAUGCUGCCACGUUCUCAUGAUGAAAAAUGAAGAUCAACGAAUGAUAACACUACGAGUAUAACAUUCAUUCAUUUCUAAAUUAGGGUUUAGUUUCUGGCUUGCGAAUACCAGCGUCGAAUUGUUGUCGUCAAUGUUUUUCGGGAGCCUUGAAUUUGGAGCAGAGGUUGUGUGAAUCAAGUGAAUUGUCUUGUGGAAAGAAGGAUUCUGUGUUUUGGCUGAAUGUGUCUUGGCUGAAGUUUUUUAGUUUUUAGAGAUUUUAAUUAUGGAAGAUGGCAAGGAGAAGAGGGAGCGGGACACGAGUCGAGUGGACUCUCUGGGAUGGCUCACAGAGUCCGCUGUUAUGCCCAAAAAGCAGCGGGUGAUAGAAGGAGUGGGACCUUCGUCGAUUGUAGAGCUGCGGGCGCAACUAUAUCGGACGCAGGAAGAUGUGAAGCGAGCCAAGGUGCUUGGAGUUGACCCGGAUGUGUUCCGACCUAAAAAGAAGGUUGAUGUGUUGUCGAAGAAGAACUCUGGAGUUGAGGAUCGGGCUUCCAGGUUUGCUUGUCCUUUCACCCUGUAUUCCUGUUUUUUUUUUGCUUGUUUGUUUGAUUUCUUCUGUUUUUUGUGUCUUUUUCCUUCUUCUUUUUUUUUCUUUUUUUUUUCUUUUCUUUUCUUUGUGAAUUUGUCCGUAUCAAAGAUAAUUGAGUUCCUGUCUGGAGGAAUUCUCUACUACGGUUAAGGUUAUAAAGAAUAGUAGAUGCUUUGACACAUGUGCAGUACAGACUUUGCUUUCUUUGUAUAGAGGUAGAAUUCACUAUUCUUAGCAUUCCGCAUUAUGCUUUAGCUUGGUAACGAGUAUCGAACAAUGUAUUUAUUUUUUCUACUGUUGUGUGCUAGGAUUUGUGAUUGAGGUGGGGGUCGCAUGAACUGGUAUCUGAGGGAAGUAGCUGAUGCUCGUCUACGAUACGUGGAUCUCAUUAUGUUUUGGCAUGGCUUACGAUGCAGAGAUAAGCUUCAGUUGAAAGCGUCUAAAGAUGGGGUUGAUAGCUACGCUGCUCUAGAGAAAAAAGCUGAGCUUUAUGACAAGCUUACAAGGGGCGAACUACCCGAUGAGGAAGAGAAGGAGAAGUACAGUGUCGAUUUCCUUCGCAAAGGGUCUCUGAGUGAUGAAGCUCUGGAAAUAGAGAGGGAGCGGCUAGGGGAUUCUAAACAUGACUCAAGAGAAAGCUUUGAAACUUCAGGAGUUGAUGCGGGCACGUCAGAAGCGAAACCGAUGUCGGGUGUGGGUUGGGGAUUGGGAAAAUCAACAGGUUUAAGCCAUGAGCAGAAGCAACUCAUUAGGUAUGAAUUGCUUUAUCCUUCUUCUUCUGAGGUAUCUGUCAAUGAUUCUGCUUCAUAUCCCUCGCAUGCUUUCGGAGCAUCGUGGUAGAGUAAACUUCAGUCUUUAUAUUGUAUGUUUGUACAGGCCAUUUAUUAGGAACGGCUUAGGAUUUUCUAUUUUGCUCUGUAAAACCAAUCGACUUUUGAUUAUUUAUACCGACGUAUACAUUCAUACGUACAUGAAGAAUGUGAUUACUUGUGAGUUUACUUUCUCAAGUUUCUAAGUGGAAACGGUGCUACAACUAUGUUGUUUCAGUCGUUUUCAAUCCUAAGCUUUAGGUGUUGGCUUUAACGUUGAUUUUUAUUGCAAACGUUUAUUUACGUGCAGGGAGGUGAACAUAGAAACGAAAGAAGCUCGUGAAAAAGCUAAUGAUUUGAAGCUAAGGCGGCAAAAGGAAGCCGAGAAGAAAAGGGAAAAGUUGCGACUUGCUUUCCUUAAGAAGCAGGUUGAGAAACUCAAAUCUUCCGGAGGAGCACAGAAAGGAACUAUUGCCUCUGAACCUAGCAAGGAAAAUGCAACCAAGCAAGACGGUACAUUGUCCCAUUGAAAAUCUUAUUUACUGCCCUCACCUCCUUUGAGUUCUGUGAUAUUCAAUCUGUUCCAGAAGGUCUGAAGAAUGAUCCGGAAUAUCUGUAAACUAUACCUGCAAAGAAGCGUGGACUGGAGAUGGGGCUUAUCAACUGCGUUGGACCGAUGCAGUGCAUGUCUUCUUUGUACGGAUGAUUCCGAAAACCAUCUCAAAGAUACUCGCCUACGAGUGGUAAUCUUUGUCCUGAAUGUGAACUGAAAGAUAUAGGGAUUGCAUUGAAUGCAGAAUAUCACGGAAGAGUAUUAUACUCUAGCUCGCAAUAGCUUAUAAGAUCCAUUCAAAGCAGCAGAGGAAAUAGAAGAUGCCUUCACUUGUGCAGGUUCCUCAAAACUAUGUACACUUGUGUAGAAUUACGAAACAAUUCUUCGUAGGAUGAAUUCAUCCUCCUUUUCAAAAGUAAGAGAAUGUGUCACUUCCACGUGCCAACCAGUAUUGAUUUUUCUCACAUAAGCUUUUUUCACACAUCUUUUAGGGCUAAAACCAGGUUGGAAAGACUUGCAAAACAUACUAGAGUACAGCCCUGUGUCCUCCCCCUGCAUGUAUGUUGGCAACUUUCACAAAAGUCAUCAAUCAUAUCAGAAGACUAUCAAUUGAAUAAUGUCUCUUCUCAAAAAUGACACCAAAUUGAAAAAGAUGUUUGAAGACAUUGUUACCCAAAGCAUGCAUUAGCUUCUGGUAUUUCAAAAUACAAGGAAUACAUCUCUAAAAUUAUUACGUAACACUAAAAAAAUAAAAAUUACAUGACAAAUACUUAAUUGAACCAUGUUGAAAGAGUCAAAAUGCAUGAACAUUGUUGAUGUCUCUUUGUCUAUUUACUUUCUUAAUCAAAUAUCCCUAAACAAACAAAUAAAAUAUUAUUUUAUACUUUGCAUACAAAUCACAAUCUUGAAUUUAUGUUAUUUGCCAUUUUCUUGCUAAUUUUUCUCUAAAACAACUAAACCUCACAAGUGUAAUUGUUUAAAACCAUUUCACUCUACUAAUAAAGCAUAAUUAAAUUUCAAGCUAAUACAAAGUUUGAUGUUAAAAAUCUUCUUCAAUAUGAUUUCAACAUUUAAAAACCAACUUCAAAAUAUAUCAUGAGUCAAACUUUAUCCUAUCUUUGGAGAAAGGACAAUUAUAUUACUAUGCCAAUGCUUAAUGCUUGGAGACUUGAUCAUGAUGUAAAGGGUCUUUAUGCUUAGAAAAGAAGAUAGUAAUCACAACUUCCAAGUCUUAUGAUAGGCUUAAAUUGAGAAGCUUCUCUUAAUUGGCUAUAUACUAAGUAAAAUCAGCUAGAAAGUUGUGGGAGGAAAAGAUGACAUGGAAUAUAUUUUUUUUCCUAUGAGACAUGAGAAGUAUUGUUUUUUCAUAAAUUUUACAAACUAUGUCAAAAAUCACUACAAACAUCCAUAACACAAUUAAAAAAGAAAGAAAGAUAUAGGUACCUUAUUUAAAUUUAGAAUAAAGAGAAAUAAUAAUAAUAGUAAUAAUAAUAAAAGGGGAAUGAUAAAGCAACCCACUCUAUCUUAACCAUCAUUAUACCAUUGCAGCUUCCAUUCUUGUUCCAAGCCAUUUCUCAUUCUCAAUCAUUGUUAAGGAUGGAGGCAGGAGGUUUGAAAUGUCUGGAAUUGGAGCAACAAUUGGAAACAGGAGAAUGGCUAGGAAUGGGGAUGGGGUUCAAAGGAUAUAAUGAUGGUUUAAAUAUGUGGGUUGAUUUAGUAAAAAUUUGGGUGACUUUAUCAUUUCCCUAAUAAAAUAAUUAGUUAAUGUAUGAUUGGUUAACUAAGAUUUUUUUUUUGAUUAUUACAAAUCUCUAUCUCAUUAAUCUGUCGAUAGUUCAAUUAUAUUGUUAGUGAUAUAUAUAUAUACACACACAGAGAUAUAUGUGUAUAUAUAUAUAUAUAUAUAUAUGAAAAUUACGGACAUAUUUAGCUCAUCGUAUUUCGUAGUUGCCUGGCACUACGAAUACUAAAAGAUGUUAUAUAAUUAAUCGUAUACAUAUCUACGUAAGUUCCUUGAUUAUAUGCAAUACAUUUGUUCGAGGCUUUUCCACGUUCCCGCCCGUAAGCCCUAAUCUCGCACAUGCGUCAAGUCAUCGCCUGCCCCCGUUCCCAUUUCCGACCGAAAUUUGUCCGAGAUUUGCAGGAAUUUCGGGAUUUGUGGCCUCCGACUCGGAAGACCCGAAAGUGCCCUUUCUACUGAGUUCAGCAUAAUGUCAGGGCAGCGCGUGACGAGCAAACCGCACCAAACCCUAAAUCUCCUCAAUGUUCGACAGGAUCAGCUCCUGGAAGAGCUUCGCACAGUUGAAAAGCAGGUAAAAGGAGUUUGUCACGUCGGGCCAAGUUUGUCAAAGGCUGUGUUUGUCCACUGAUCACGUAGUGCAUCUCUGUUUAAUCGUUUUAUGACAUAGCAAUUGAGGAUGUUUAAAUGUGUUCAUGUUCCUUGACGCUAGUUGCGUUACUUUCAUUGUGCCUGCUGAUGGCCUGGACUUGUGAUCGAUAAUGAGACGACGAAAUUCGCCUUGCGAUGUGUAGUUGUACGAUUUGGAGACCACAUAUCUGCACGACUCAAGCCAGUGUGGUAACGUGCUGAAAGGUUUCGAGGGUUUUCUUUCGUCGAUCAAAGGUUCUGGCAAGUAAGUGAAGUUCUCCAGAUUUUGUGCAUUGCAGUGUACGGAGUAAUGUUACAUUACAGUUUGAGAGCUUGGUUGAAUCACUGACCGGCAACUUGUCGAGGGUUCAGGGAAGUUGGGAGAGGGUUGCGAGAUAUGGAAUUUUCAUUUCGACGUACUCUCUGGUUUUCAUUUUGAUUGGUUGCGUGUAGUAUGAACUCAUCACCGUUUCCAUCCGUUUUGUAAUCGUGAAUUGACGUGUUGGUCUCUCAUAUUCUUUAUACUUUUCAAAAGAAGUAGAUCAAAUGCUGAUGGGUCGUAUUAGACGUUAAACCGUGGAAUUUGAAUGUUCUGUUUGUAAGCUUGAAGCGGCCGCGAAAAUUUCAACCUGAAGAUCGUCUCUUCUCUUUAUCAUCAGUGACUUCGCCCGUGGUAAUUUACUCAAACUCUUCUGUUAUUCGAUCAGUUGCGUUUUGAAAUACAAGCAGAACCGUCGAUUACUACGGAAAUCAUUCAUGUGCUAAUGAGGUGAUGCAUAAAACUGUCAGCCUACUUACGGAAUUUCCAAUUCUGCUAAUCCACUUAUUUUCCUCCAUUUUUGUCAAGGUAAUGGUUUGCAUCUCACUUUGAGCUUGAAAAUAAUCUGGCUGCUUUUAACCAUGUGGUGCUUUAAGAUUUGGACUAGAAUUGAUGUAGAAGCUUAUUUUCCUGCAGCUAGAUCCGAGUCAUUACACCUCUACGGCACAAUGCCAGGGACCUGGUGACGCGUUUUGGCGAUUAACCUAUUUGUGGAUUCCCUCUGGUCCAGGUGGAGGAGCUAUCUGGAGGGGGCCGUGAUGCAGGUAUGCUAAAACAGUGCAAUAGAGGCUUUUGUUAUGUACUGAUUGGUCUCCCAAUUAUGAAAGAUGACCUUGAAAGGUUUAUUCGCUAUUCGUCGCUUUUGUACUCAAUGUCACUUGUGUUUGUAGAUGGAAAGAUAGACGGCAGUUUGCAUGGGCGCACUAAGACAAAUGGAUUGUUCGUAAACGGACCGUAAGCACUGCCUCUUGAGACUUUGAAAUGCUCUCUUGAAAGCACUUCCUGGUUCAAGUUUUGCUUUCUUUUCAUGCGACAGGAAUUUAGAUUGUUCACAGUGAAUCAUUUAAUCUCUUGUGGAACCAUUCCUUUCAGUUCUGUGUCUUGUCAUUCUUUUGCAGAGAAUACUGUGAUUCUAAUGUAGUUCACGCCAUAGCUCACUUGGAACUAUCGUCUUGAGUUUCACGGCUUAACAAUGAUUAUGCCAUUAUUCUGCAGUGGAAAGCAGAAGCGUGGUCGAACUGGACCAAGAGAAGGCAAGAGGAUCAAGCAAGUUACUGAUCAUGGACAAGACGAAGAGGAUGACAUUGACGGCUUCCUUAAAUAGGAGAGCUUAAAAUAUUCGGUGACGGGUAAAGAAAGUGGGUUCAUUUUUCUACCACCAGCUUACUUCAUACUACUCUAGAAACCAUAUUCAACAAUCAAAACAUUUUCUUUGAGAGGGGGGAUUCUCUCGGAUUCGGGUUUGGGAGGGGACUGUAUAUCCUAACUAGCUGAAGAUAGUGGAUACAGUUGUUUUAGACCAAAGCUUCUGAUCAUCCAUUACAACAUUCGCACAUAAUUUUUCUUGUUCACUCAAGUGAGCAAAUGUCUGCUGUACAUAACUCCUUCAAAUGGUGAAAUCUGCAUUUAGCGUGAACUGCACUUAGUUUUUCCUGGUUUGUUACAGCACUUUUCAUUGUCUUUAGAAUAAAAAGAUGACAAAUCCUUUUUUCUUUUUUUUUCUUUUUUUUUUCCUCAACGACCGUUCAAAGUCUGGUUCCAAUUUGGGCUGUAGCAAUUUUCUAGAAUGUGAUCUGAUUCAAGGAUUCCCGUAACAUAGGGUUCUCAGAAUCUCCAGUCUACGAGAGUAGCCUCUAAUCACCACAAGCUUGGGCAAACACGACCAAAAGCAAUCUAAAGUGACUAGACAGGCGUUGUUAUAGAAAGUCUGACGUGGAACUUCACCUAGAAUGAGAUCUUCAUCCAACGAGAACGAAUUUAGUUGCAGAAGUGAUCUGAGGAAAUAUGGGGAUUGAUUGUGCAUGGCAUGGUUGACCAAAUCUUUUCAUAAUUCGUAACUGCCCCAAUCUACAAACUUGUAUGCACCUAGACUAUGAUAUUAGUCAACUUUGUAGCAUUUGCCCUGUGACCUUUCAAUGAGUCUUAGUCAAUCCAAGUGCUUUGCUCAUGCUUUACACGUUGAAGUAGUAGUUCUUGUUUGUAUGUCAUGACAAAUAUCAAUAAACAAAUAAAUAUCCAGAUUUACAAGGUUCCAAUUGUCAUCCACUUUGAAGAUUCUUUUUGAGGGUUCUUAUAUAACUUUUUAGUAUAACAAAAUGUAAUACUGUUAUCUAGUCAAUGGGUGUUUUGCUCAAUUACUAUUUGAUCUUUCAGCCAUAUGGAUAGGACAAGUUGCAAUUAUAGAAGAAUAUUAAAAAAAAUGAUGAGAUUCAAAAGUAUCACUAUAACAGGACUAUUUUGUGAAUUUUUCGUCUCAUUAUUUAAUAAUGUUUUGUCAUCUUGUGUCUUUUGAUUGGUAUAAAUCUAGGUAAUUGGGUUGAAAUCGAAAUAUGUAAUGAAUUAUAUUUAUUUAAAAUAUUUAAAAGUAAAUGAUAAAAUAAAUAGGUCUUAUAUAUAUAUAUAUAUAUAUAUAUAUGUAUUUCUAUGCUUUGAAUAAAAAUAUUCAUAAUAACCAGAUAUUAAUAUUGAACAAAGAUGAAUGAAUAUUGACAAUUAAUAAAUUAUAAUAUAUAUAUAUAUAUAUAUAUAUAUAUAGUAUUGCUAAUGCCAUCAUAGUUCUUGCUACUACCACCACAAUCUUCUAUCCACUUAACAUAUUUGUUUAGUUUUGUUAUUCCAAUUAAAAUUGUUGUUAAUAUAUAUAUUGGGUUAAGUUGAAACAUACAUUUAAUUUUAAUAAGAAUAUCUUUAAAAAUUAGUUGUAGUGGCAAUGACAAUAACUAUGGUGAUAUGUGGUGGAUGACAAACUAUGGUGGCAAUAGCAAAAAAAAGUGGUGGCAUUAGAAACACCGUAUUUAUAUAUAUAUAUAUAUAUAUAUAUAUAUAUGGUUAUCAAAAAUAUACUUUAAAAAGUGAAGUUUAGGAGGAAUAAAAAUUGUAAAAUCAUGUAUAUUAGGGUCCUAAAUAAAUUUUUAAAUAAAAUAAAAUUUCCUGCCUUAUUUAGUAACCCAAAAAAUAUUUAAAAUAUUUGGCUACUUAAAUAGUCUAAAUUCCAGGAAUAAUAAUUGCCAUACAAAUGAUAUACUUUCUUAAAACACUUAGCCAAAUUGAAUUAAAAAAUAAAAAAUAAAAAUAAAGUUGUGAAAGUAAGUCAUCAACAGGUUCAAAUCAAGGUUCACAUGAGAAACAUGAAAUGGGGCCUCAACUACUUCCACAAUUUGCAACUAAUGACUUGUUCUCCAAUCUCUACAAGGAGAAGCACGUUUUGCCUCCACAUCCCACCCAUCACACCUAUUUCAUAUUUCUUAGGCAGCAAGUGGACACAGGGCGGCGCCCCCACUGUAGAUAAAAACCCACUCAGCGGUUUUCAUCAGUGAAUCCAAUUUGGGGGUAUGUAGUGAUAUCCACCAAAAUGGUCAUGAUUUUUCAUAACUGUUUGAGAAUAAAUGAAACGGUUAACUGGUUGAUAAGAAAAACAGGGAACUGGCCACAGUUUGUCUGCUCAUCAGCUGUGUGGCCAGAAAAAAGAACGGCAAAGUUGCAAAGCGGUGUGUUUGAGCCGUUGUACCUGCCGAAGUGAAGGGGUUUGGAUUGUUAGAACGGUUCAAUAGCACCUGUCCACACUACACAACGCCUCUUCACCACCCAUCUAAACAUGUUCAUCACUUUACGUAAAACAUUCAUGCGGUUCUAUGAGAUUCAACUCCAUAGAACCCACAGAAAGUCUAUCACUCUCUCUUGCAAAACUCCACAAAGAGAGUUUCUCCCGGACAAUCUGGUAACAAAAAUUUGCUCUGUAGUUGAAUCUCCAUGGAAACAUCGUGGUCGAAACUCACGAAUGUUAUGGCCACACACAGCACUUGCAGGUUUCACAUAGACGAACGAGCUAGAUUAGGAGUGUGUGAGGCUGAUUUUUGAAGAGGAAACUUGCAGGCAAGAGCAUAUUGUGCAAUAUGAAUACUCCUCCUGAUCAUGUUUCAGCUGACCGAAAUUAAAUUUAAUGUCAAGUCGAUGGUAAAACAAUCUCAAAUCUUAGCUAUGGUGUUUUCAGUCUAGACUUAUACACGAUGCUGUGUUGCUUAGUUGUUGGAUGAAGACCAUUGACAUCUAACUUUGUGUCAAUUUCUGCACGUUAUAUUUACAACAAGCAAGUGAGGAAUUGAUACAGUAGUGCCCACAUCAGAAGCAAAUGGUGCACGUAUCAGGAGGCCCAGAGCGGCCAGUCAGUCCGGCUUGCAACUCCAAAUCGGGUGUAAGUCGUAAUUUAGCCAGAAUUUAAUCUGUUUGGAAGUUUCGCAAAAUAAGCUUUAACACGGACAUUCUUGCAUGGAUGUGGAGUAAUGACUUCAUGAUGAUCCCAUGACCGCUAGAGACGCUGCUCGCAAAGAAUUCUGCGACGGGCUUACAAUAUUGUCCAUUUGGUUAGAUUCUACAGGAGGGAAGAAAGUGCAUCUGUAAGGUAUGCACCUGCGGCUUCCACAAAUGCCCCCAGAAGCACACAUCCGUCUUCACCAAAUUCGGCGACAAGACAAUUUCAGAAUAUUGCGCCAAGUACCCACAAUGGCCAGUCCCGCAGAAAUUCAUCCGCAAGGUGCCCCCAUCCGAGCACGCCAACCUCAGAAUGGCCUCGGAGACGACCUACAGCGACGACUUCGUCAAGCACCCAUUCGGCCCCGCGGCCUCACGCCGCCCUACCCAACUAACCACCCAAACUGGUGUACUGCAAAAGGAAACGACCUACAAUACCUCCUACUGGGAUAAAUCGAAGCAAAUGCAACCCAGAGUGAAAAUGCAACCGGAGAAGCACGGAUCCGGGGCCAAAUUCUCCGGCCAGUCGCUCUACUCAGUAGAAUUCACCAACCCCGGCCGACAACCCCCUAGUAAAGUGGUCCGUCACGGCGACAGCCUUGGCUCACACGGUGCCAAAUUCGACUCCGACUCCACAUAUCACGAUGAUUACAGGCAAUGGAAAAUCCCAGCCAAGCACCUUCAUAGGAGGCCGGACAACCCACAGCCUACAGGUAAGAUCGAAGGCCCGACAACGUAUCAAGCCGACUACCAGAACCGCAAAAUCCCCAACCAAUGCCCUGUUUCUGUCGGCAGCAAGCCCUCGAUCGUUUGCGGCGAUCACAUGUGCUACUGAGUCCACUCCAUCGCUGUGCGUGGAUCACUAACCCAGACUCUAUUCCGCGAAUUCCCCGCCUGUGAUCGAUCGAUCGAUCAAUGGAAUAAGGCCAAAGUGCUGCAGAACACAUGACUUGCCUUAAAACAGACAACUUUAGAAUAUCUACCAACUUUCAUAAUCUUCAGAUUACGUUGAUUUAUUUACGUAGAUUCCUCGUUUUUAUUGAAGAUACGCUGACCGGGCGUGAUGUAUUGAUAUUCGAUAGGUAGUCAAAUAAAUAUGCUAAAACCAAAGAAUUUUGAUAAAGCCAUAAUAUUAACAAGAUUUUAAAAAUAUAUAGAUUAAUGAGACGAAAGACAAUUUCAUAUUUACUAGUACCUAUAUCAAUUAUAGGCUUAGGAGUCUUUUGUUAAUUAUUUUUAAAAGAGUAUUUUUAAGAAAAAUAUAUUUUUUUUACAUAAGUUUUUUUAAUGUAUUAAUUUUAUUUUUUUAAAAUAAAAAAUACAUUCUUU